This 53919-nucleotide long non-coding RNA is filed under the name Manihot esculenta (cassava). Its description in RNAcentral is "long non-coding RNA (MESC_LNC001885)". Lineage: Eukaryota; Viridiplantae; Streptophyta; Magnoliopsida; Malpighiales; Euphorbiaceae. The record is from RNAcentral.
UGUAACAUCCUAAAUAUAUAUAUAUAUAUAUAUAUAUAUAUAUAUAUAUAUAUAAUAUAAAGAAUAAUAAGGAUAAUAAAAUAAAAAUAAAGAAAUAAAUAAUAAAAAGAAUAUGAAUAAAGAAAAGAAAAAGAAAAGAAAAAGAAAGGAAAAGAAAAGAAAAGAAAAAAAAAUGAUAAAUAAAUUAAAUCUUAAUUUAAAGACAAGUGGCUCAUUUGUAACCACUUACCCAAAUUAAUUAAAUAAGAAAAAGAAAAUAAUAAGAGGAAAAGAUCAUCUUCUUCCCAAAUAUCCCGUAUCCAUCCCCAAAAUUGCCCUAAAAUUCUUCUUCUCAAUUCUACUCCAAUUGCUUCCAAUUUUUCCACCCAACUUGCUAGCCUACCUCAUCCAAGUCCCUUCCCUAGUUGAAUAUUCAAAGUAGGAGGAAGAAUUAAAGAGAAAUUCAAGGUGGAGGGAGAGGAAAUAUUAAUUACAUAUUGGGAAUUUGAAAGGUAUGUUAGGGGUUUUUGUUGUAGGGUUAUUUCUUAUUAUUUUAUAUCAAUAUUUAUGUAGUUGAAUUAAAUUAAUAGAUUUAUAUGAUACGACAAUGUUUAAAAGUACAGUUGUAAAAUAAUAAAGUAUUAUAGUUUGAAUAAUUGACAGUUACACUGUAUUAACAGUUGUUGUCCCCCUGUUUAAAUGUAUAAAUUAUUGCAAGUCUGGCCCUAGUAAGUUUGGUGGGAAUUGUGGGUUAGUUUAAGGGUGUGGCAUGCCAUACAAAGAUCUUGCAGUACUGCACUACAGUUACACUGACUCUUGGGAUACAAUGAGGUAUCCUACAGUUAUAGAAUCGGCUUUUGAGCCAUACAGUUAUUUGGCACUUUGUGCCCUACAGUUACAGUUUCCUUAUCUGACUUAACAGUCCCAUUUAAAUUUAUAGGGGCCAACAGAAAAAUAAUAAAUAAAUAAAAGUAUUAAGAGGAAAUAAAAUCUUUUACAUGAUGAAAAAAAAGAAAAGAUUGUGAAAUGAAAAUAUGUAUAUAUGUAAAAUAAUAAUAUGAUUUAGCUGAUUUGAAAUUAUUUGUUAUAUAGUUAUUUGUUGUUUGUUUGUUUGAAUUACUGUUAUUACAUGAAUUUUGAUUUAAAUGUUUUAUUUAUAAAUAAAGUUGAGCACCACUAAGCAAAUUGCUUAGCGCGUAGGAAUUUGUUUUUCCUCGCGCAGGUUGUAGACCCAAGGAAUAGUAGAUCAAGAUCUGCAUCAACCCAGUCAGAGUUACAUCAUUGACUAUCUUGGGGUAUCUUUUGUAAAUUUCUAUAUGAAUUUGAUUUUGGAAAUAUGGCAUGUACAUAAAGUUUUGGAGAUGAAGUUGUAUAUGGUUAGUUAUAGAUAUAGUUGAAGAUUUUAAUUUUGGUAUAAAUGUGGAUGAUUAGUAUAAGUUUCUGUGUUGAGAUUAAUUAAAUGUUAUGAAGUGUUUGAUCUGAAUUGCAAUUGUAUCGAUGUUGAAAGAAGUUUGGGGGUUAAGGUUGAAAUUGAUAGAAGUGUGAUAUUACUUUUCACAGGUGGAAUUAAGUCCAUAUUGAAGGGGAAACUCUGCCGGAUUUUUGUAAAAAAAAANNNNNNNNNNNNNNNNNNNNNNNNNNNNNNNNNNNNNNNNNNNNNNNNNNNNNNNNNNNNNNNNNNNNNNNNNNNNNNNNNNNNNNNNNNNNNNNNNNNNNNNNNNNNNNNNNNNNNNNNNNNNNNNNNNNNNNNNNNNNNNNNNNNNNNNNNNNNNNNNNNNNNNNNNNNNNNNNNNNNNNNNNNNNNNNNNNNNNNNNNNNNNNNNNNNNNNNNNNNNNNNNNNNNNNNNNNNNNNNNNNNNNNNNNNNNNNNNNNNNNNNNNNNNNNNNNNNNNNNNNNNNNNNNNNNNNNNNNNNNNNNNNNNNNNNNNNNNNNNNNNNNNNNNNNNNNNNNNNNNNNNNNNNNNNNNNNNNNNNNNNNNNNNNNNNNNNNNNNNNNNNNNNNNNNNNNNNNNNNNNNNNNNNNNNNNNNNNNNNNNNNNNNNNNNNNNNNNNNNNNNNNNNNNNNNNNNNNNNNNNNNNNNNNNNNNNNNNNNNNNNNNNNNNNNNNNNNNNNNNNNNNNNNNNNNNNNNNNNNNNNNNNNNNNNNNNNNNNNNNNNNNNNNNNNNNNNNNNNNNNNNNNNNNNNNNNNNNNNNNNNNNNNNNNNNNNNNNNNNNNNNNNNNNNNNNNNNNNNNNNNNNNNNNNNNNNNNNNNNNNNNNNNNNNNNNNNNNNNNNNNNNNNNNNNNNNNNNNAAAAAAAAAAAAAAAAAAAAAAAAAAAAAAAAAAACAGCCAUGAUUUACAUGAUAUAAAGUAAAGGAAAAAUAAGAGAAUUGUUACAAGAUGUACUGUCUCCGACUCAGUUAAUUAAUUAACCGGGUAGGGGGUGUUACAGGUAAGGGGAGAGAGGGUCACCUAGUCGAAGACCCCUCGUAGGAACAAUAGGGUCAUACUUCAUGUCAUUCUGUAAUAUUCAAUACCGUACCGUCGAAAUACACCGCAUAAUAAGAGCAAUCCAAUUCAUAUGGAAUCCCAUUUUAAUCAAACAUCCGAUGUGUAUAUAAAUAAAUAAAUAAAAUUCUAACAGUUGGUUUGAUUUGAUUUGUUUUUAAUAAAAAAUCAAUUAAAUUUUUAUAAAAUUACAAAUAAUUGUUUUUAAUAAAAAAUUUUAUAAAUUUUAAAAAAUAAAUUCUUUUACUUUAAAAAAAUUAAAUUAAAUUGAAUUCCUUACGAAGUUUUUGAUUUCAGAUAAAGGGUAAGCAAUCAUUUAUAUAUACAGGUAUAUUUGCAACUUUCUUACAGUUUUGUACAAGUUAUUUCUAUUACUCGAACUUAUGAUAUCAAUUUUUUGUAUAUGUAUUUUCAAACAGUGCAUACAAUUUUAUUUAAUUUACUUUAAAUGCCAAGUCUGUUGAAAUUAAACAUGUAUAUGUUCGAUUUUAAGAAUACCAAAUUUAGAGAAAUUAGAUUUACCGUGUUUAUAAACUAAAAUGGAUAUGAGAAAAUAUCUAAAUUAAAAAAAAAAAAUCAUAUACUUGAUUAUUUAUUAUAUAACAUAUAAAGAAAUAGUAAAUCUUGUACUAUACAUACUUUCUUAGGCAUUUGAAUUUCCAAUGGAGAUUUUUUUUUUCUUAAAAAAAAAUGGCAGAUUGAGAUUUCUUGUAAAUGUAGCGUGUAGUUAAUUUUUUGGUUGGAAGCAUUUUCUUGAGCAAGUUGUUUUCAACAAAGACGAAGAUUGGAUCAAUUAGUACCCAAUACUGCAAGUAGAGUUAGCUGUUAGCAAUUAGCAAUUAGCAAUUAGCUAGGGCAAGCAGUGAAUUGUGAGAUAAGUUAGAGAUUGAGUGCAAGAAUCCAUUGGGUUCAAAAGAGAUUGUUUACCCACACUGGACUUAGCCCUUUUUUUUAUUUUCUUGAUCAAGACUUAGCUAUUUUGGAUUCUUCCUAUUUGAGAGGCUUUUACUGUUCAUUAUAAAAAUAUUAAUGGAUAAUAAAAGAAAGUAUAUAAUAUAUUAUGCCUAUUAGGUUGCUGAAGUGGCUAUGACAACCCAAAUCGUCAUAACAACUCUAGGAAACAAAAUAUUGUUUUUAUGUGGAUUUUAUUGUUUAAUUAAAUAAAUUUAUAAUAUAGAAUUUUAAUUUAGUAAUAUCAAAUUAAUUUUUUUAAUUAAAAAUAAGUAAAUAAAUAAAAUACUGAAUUAGAUGAAUUAUGGUAAAUAACAAAUUGGGAUGUUUUCGAAAAAAAAAAGAGAUGAGGAAUAUUUUUCUUAAAUAGUUUAUUAACAAAAUGAAAAUGCAAUAUUAUUUUUAUUAACUUUUCAAUUAUAUCUAUUUUAAAAUAUUACAUUUUAUUAAUUUUUUAAUUUAAUUUAUUUAAUAUAGACAUAAUUAAAAAAUUAAUAUAAAAAUUAUACUUUUUAAUAUGUGUAAAAAAGAAAAGUAACAAGAAAAAUUAUAGAAUGGAAAAAAUAUUAUAUUAAAUAUUAAUAAUAAAAAAUUAUAGUAUUAACUGACUUUUUAAAUUAAAUUUAGAGUGCAAAUGAUGUAUUUGUAAAAUAGAAGAAUUUUUUUUUCAUGUUUAGGUUUGUAAUCCAUAAAUUUAUUGAAUUGUAACAUUUGGAGUAUUUAAUGUAUAAUACAUAAAUUUGAUAUUAUUUAUAUAGAGAAAUGAAAAAUAAAAUGGCUGUCUUGUAGGUGUCAAUAUUAUAGGAAUUUUCCAUGACAAGAGACAGAUGGAGGCUUAUAACGCCAUUAAAGUUGGGAUGGGGAGUUGCACUUCCAUGUGUAUUUUCCAUCAACUGGAUUUAUUUCAUUAUCUUUAGUUACACAUACCUUUUCCAUUUACAAUUAUAGUUUCUCUCUUUUCUCUUUCUUUUUUUUUUUUGACUUUAAUGUUCAAUUAAGAAGCUUUGAAUAAAUUAUCCAAUAAGAUCAGUUUAGUUGGUAAUAAUGAGAGUUCUCUUUUUCUAUAAAUUUGACUUUACUCGUAGUAUUUCAAAAAAUAUAAAAAUAGUAGCAAAGGUCUAGAUGUCCUUCAAGUGGCCCUAUUCCUAGUGGUAUCUGUGAGAUCCCAAUUACUUUAAUUUUCAAAGUUUAAGGCCUGAAGUCUAUUUCUCAAUUCCGAUUGAUAAGUCUGUGUAAUGAUACCAGUAAGACCAUCACAAAGGUCCUUAUGAAUCAUAUGAAAAGGUUAUGCCUUCUCUCAUUUCUCCUACUCAGUGUAGUUUUAUCCAUGGUAGAUAGUUUCAGGAUAAUGUCAUCAUUCUUCAGGAGGUGGUUCAUUUUAUGCAAAGACCUUCGAGGGGUGAUGGUUAGAUAAUUUUAAAGAUUGGUUUGGAGAAAGUUUACGACAGGCUUAGGUGGAACUUUGUUCUAGACUCUAUGCGGUUGGCAGGUUUCCCAAGCAGUUGGGUGAUGAUUGUUUCUAAUUGCUUGUUCAACUGAUCUAUGCAUGUCCUAUAAAAUAAUCAAUCUUUUCCUUGAUUUCAACCGUCAAGAGGUAUUUGUUAGGGGGACUUACUCUCACCUUAUUUAUUUAUCUUAGACAUGGAAAGAUUGGGUCAUCUUAUAACUCAAUCGAUUGCAAAUGACAAUUGAGUUCCUAUUCAAUUAUCUCACUGAUGUCCUCCCCUAUCUCAUCUUUUCUUUGCUAAUGAUCUACUAUUAUUUGCUAAGGCCUCUACAGAGCAUAUUACUGUAGUUAAAAUAUAUCUUGAUGAGUUUUGUGUUGGCUCUAGGUAAAGGGUUAACUAUUCAAAGUCUAAGAUCCUCUUUUCACUGAAUGCGGCCACUCAGUUACAACAGCUAAUUUGUGAUGUUGCAGGGAUGUCUAUCACUACUGACCUUGGGAAGUAACUAGGCAUUCCAAUUGUCCAUGGACAUAUACAUAAGCAUAUGUUUGCACCACUAUUCCAGAGAAUGGAUGUUGCUCUAUCGGGUUAGAAAACUCCUAUGCUCUCUCUCUCGGGCAGAAUUACUCUGGCUAAAUCUGUUCUCAAUGCUUUACCUAAUUAUAUUAUGCAGUCCUUCUAUCUCCCUCGGGCAAUUUCUGAUGUUCUUGAUAAGAAAACUCGUGAUUUUAUUUGGGGUGACUAAGUUGGUAAAAGGUGUGUCCAUGCAGUAAGUUGGGACAUCGUUACAUUGCCUAUUGAUCGCAGUGGCUUGGGUAUUCGUAGUUGUCGGGAGAUGAAUACUUUUCUUGCUAAACUGGAUUGGCGUCUUCUUCAUGAUGACAACAGUCUCUGAAAUUUCAUUUUACGAGGUAAAUAUGGGGUGACUUGUUAGAGUGCAGAUGCUUUCUCUCCUAAGAACAAUUUGUCGGUUAUUUGGUGUAGCCUUGUUCACAAUGCUCCAUUGCUCCGAAAAGGUAUUUCCUUUUCUGUUUAUAAUGGUGUGUCGAGUAGUUUUUGGAAUGAUUGUUGGGUUGGUCAUACUCCUUUGUUGUCCUUGGCUAUUAAUCGUGUUCUCGAGUCCUUCAAAUCUCUCAUUAUUGUGCAGUUGAGGUUUUCAUGGGAUUGGGCAUGGGACUUGAUACGAUCUUACUUUCAUGAGGAUGCAUGUCUUCUAUUAGAAUCCAUUUCCAUUGUUCAAUAUGUUAGAGCUUGUGAUGAGGUCUCCUAGUGGUUCACAUCUUCAGGUACAUUUUCAGUUAAGUCUGCAUAUGAGUUGAUGGACAGGUUUGAUAAUUCGCCUAGGGAUGCUAUAUGGAAAUUGCUUUGGAAGAUCAAGGUGCCCCAAUGGUGUUGAAUGGUUUAUUGGUUGUUGCACAUGCAAAAAUUAUGAUCAAUGCUGAAAGAUUUAAACGUGGGUUUACUAAUAACCCGACUUGUGCUAUUUAUGGCCAUAGAGAGGAAAUAAUUCUUCAUGUAUUACGAGAUUGACCUGCUGCCUGGCAUAUUUAGAAUCAGAUUUGGGACACGAGUGUAACAUCCUAAAACCUAUAGUUAGGAAUAGUGACAUGACUAAGUAUGAGUUAGGUUAUUUCAUUAUUAGAGCAAGUGGCAUUAGGGGAGGUGCUAGCUUACCCCGAGUUACUUAGGGGAGCUGCUAGCAUAACUUUAAACUGCUAAUAACUGAAUCAUAGAAAACUCAAAUAAAGAAACGGAUAUAUUUAGAAAUAAAGUAGACAGUGUGAUUAGCGAGUCGGAAACGAAUUACUUUUGGGAGGUGUUUAUGGUUUUCUGACGUGCUUGCUUCAGGUGCUUGUUAAAAUAUCACAUUUACUUUAAUCACUUGAUGAAAUUUACUUGAACUACCUAAUAACUUGAUAAAUACAGAUAAAGGAAAUUGAUUAGCCUUAUAUAUCUAAAAAGGUAUAGUUUGUGACAUUCCUUACACUGUCUACACUUUGAUAGGGUAAGGAGUGUUACACCUAGCACAUCUGAAUUCUUUUUCGAUUUGACUAUGGUUGAUUGGCUACGCUAUAGUGUUGGUUUUAUAUCUUCUUUAUCAGUUGCUUAUCAACCUCUUGAGAUUUUAUUUAUUAUAAUAUGAUGGAUUUGGAAAUGGUGAAAUGCUAUGAUUUUUCAACAAGCUCCUAAUGGUCUACAACUUGAUGUAAAAUUACGUUCUUUAGUAUAUUCUCUACAUUGUAAUAUGGAUGCUUGAUCGCACCGAUCCUUAUCUUCUAGUAAACAAGGACAUAUUGUUAUUUCUGUAUUUUGUCAACCUCCUAUGAUGAGUAGGUUAAGCUUAAUUAUGAUAGGGCGAGUAAAGGGAAUCAUGGUCGUGGAAGUGCUGGUGGUGUGAUUCGUAAUCCUGCGAGAGGCUAGAUUGUGGGCUAUUAUAUUCGAUUGGGUGUAUGCAGCAUUGUGGCUGAGUUAUAGGACCUUAUCUAUGGUUUAUCUUGUGCAUAGAAGUAAGGCUUUCGUCAGGGAGAAGUGAAUGUAAAUGUCAGUUGGUUUUAGAUUUUAUUAUCUGAGAAUGUGGUAUUGAGUUAUAGGUUGAAAGAGUUACUUUUGCAAUAUAAAUCACUUCUAUUUAGAUCAUGGCGUGUUUGAUUACUCCAUUAUUAUAGAGGAGCAAAUCGUGUAGCUGAUUAUCUUGCAAAUUUUAUAAUCUCUACAUAUACGAGCUGUCAUAUUCUGAACUCCCACCAAUGGAGAUUUUUGAUUUCUUACUCAAUAAAAGAAGGAAUAGGAUGGUCUAAAGUAAUGCCCUUAAUUAGUUAAUAAUUUAUAAUUUCGUAAGAUGUUCUCCUUUUAUAUAUAUAUAUAUAUAUAUAUAUAUAUAAUAUGCAUUUUUAGAAUUAUUUGAAAAUUAACUCAAUUUUGACAUAUAAAAACUAAUUUGCGCCCCAUUUCAAAAAAAAAAAAAAAAAAACCUAAUCUGCGAAUGUGUUGUCACUAUAAAUAUCAUCGGAAAAUAAAAACUUUGGAUAAAAAAUUUUAAUUACAAUUAUCUUUCAACUUUAAUAUACAUAAUGAAAAUUUUUAAAUUUUAAUUACAUAUUUUUUGAAACUUUUAUAAAAUAUUCAUAACAAUUACAUAUAUAAAUAUAUGCACAGACAUUAUCUGAAAUAGUAUACCGAUUACUGUUAUGUUUUUCAAAUCUUUAUAUUUUAUUAUAUUUUUUGUAAUUAGAGUUUGGAUGGGCAAGACUGGUGAUGUACACUACAACAAGCUGAGGUUUUCUUUUAGUUUUUCAUGUUUCUAAUUUAAUGGCGUAAAACUAUACAGAACUCAACAAAUACUUAUUAUUAGCCCCUAAUUAAUUAUAUCAACUCCCAUUGAAUUUGACAUGCAAGAAUAAGUUUGAAUAUGAAUGUCACCCUGUUAUUCUCAUCAGCUCAUCUCUAUAAUCAACCUGUUAUUUUCAAGUUUACUGCACCCGUUAUUAUCAAUCAACUGUGAUCCAUUGACAUUAUAAGAAACCAGUGUUUGUUGAUCACACCCAACUGCAGCACAUUACUCUGAUUGCAACGGCAACAAAUUGACAAAACCGAGAUAUACAAGAGAUUCACACAUGAAAAAAGACUAUUGAAAUAUAAGACCAAAAGUGUCAAUACUAAAAGUUGUGGAUUGAAUCUGCCACAUUCACCGCUUAAUUAGUUGUUUUCUCCAAUGUCGCAUAUUCACCACUUAAUUAGUUGUUUUCUCCCAAUGUCGACCACUUAAAUAGUGGUCUUUUCCAAUUCCCCACUUAAGUAGCGGUCUUUUCCAAUUCUUUAACUGUAGUUGUCUUUUCCAAUUCCUUUAACUGUAGUUGGGUGUUCUUCCACAUUAAAUUCAUAAUUUUCAACUUCGUUCUAUCUAUUUCUUUUAAUAUUUAAGUUAUUUAAUAUUUAAGUUCAGCAAAUUAAUAAAAAAAAACAUAAACAUGUUGAAAAUUAUCAAAAGUUAUUGAAUAUUAAAACUCAAGAAAUUUUCCAAGUUUUUUCUUACCGAACUCGAACAAUCUUCAGCGUAGGUUGAAAAAAGAAAAUCCAAAAAAAUCCAAUUACACUUCCAUCCAAUAACUCUAUUUUCUUUCACUCAAUUGUGUAAUCAGAUCCUAUCUAGGGACCAUAACAUAAUCCAAUAAAUAAUUUAUUGAAACCUAAAUGUCUCGUUAAAUUUACAAGAUCUGCAGCAGUAACGAAGUUUCAAUACAACAUUCUCGCAAGUCGGAGAUGCGAGCCCUGGUAAUUCAGGCUUUUAAUCACAUGCCCCAAACACCGCGAGCUGCUGUAAAUUUGUUGUUUGGUCUAGAUGUCAGCUCAUACAAGAUCCUUGCAAAUGUAUCAGAAUAUCUGCUUUCUGAGAAGAGAAUAUCUGCAAAUGCAUUCUCAUAAGCAAGCAGCAACGCCCUGUUCUGUGGCUCAGAGACCAGGCUCUCCAGUAUCAUUGCCGCUUUCCUGCAAACUUCUGGUACUGGGUGUGGCGUCUUGAUCACCUUCAAAAGCCGAUCAACUGCCCUGAAUUUCAUAAAUUAUACAUCGAAAAAUGUCAUGUCACUCCAUCAAUAAACAUUAACAAUAAAAUUCUAUACUAUGAAGUUUUUCCUUGAAUAAUCUGUAAUUUCGGAAACAGAAAGGAAUAUUACCAUCGCUCGCUAGCAAGCUUCAAUCUGCAAUCCAUAUUAACUUCUGCAAGGUUAUAUAGUGCACCCACAGCUGCAGCUUGUGCAUCUAAUGCCUGUAUGCUCAUAAGGUCUACCAAACGCUUAUGUAUCUGCAUCAUACAUUUGAGACCUAAUUACAAUUUCAUGCAAAUUAGAUAUAUGACCAGUCUAUUUGAGUGAUAACAACCUGUGGAACAAAGGGAAGAAGGAACGGUUCAUUGUCAGGAUUUAUAAUCAUGCGCCCCAGUAAUUCUGCAGCAGCACAAUGCCAGGCUUUAACUGUAGAACCUAGCAUCCCCAUGAUAGCUUGGACUGCACGUUUCUCUCUAUUGAACAAAAGCAAUUAGCAAACAUAUCAUCCAUAUGUCGUUAUCAGAAUUGAAUUCUAAAAGCAAACAGAAAAAAGAUUUCUCACGUUAUUUUGAUGUAAGAUGGUUUUGCUGAACUGAAGAUUCGAAGAUCAAGCAGUGGAGCCAAAUUUACUAUUGUCUCAAGGGCAUUUGUAACAAGUUCCUCAUCCUCUGUCAAUAUAUUUUUAAAAAGCAUUUAAGAAAAAAAGCAGGAAAUAUUAAAUAACCCACAUUGGUUUUUAAUGAAUUAAUCUGAGUAAAAAAUAAAUAAGAAGGAUUAACAACAAUUCAUCUCUGCUACCAGUUUAAUACCAAUCCUCAACAUAUCUGGAGAUGCAGUAAUUAACAAUAUCCGACUGUUUCACUUUACAACCAUUUCACAUGUGACACAUGUAAGAAAAAAUGGGAGGAUUUUACCAUUUUCCCUUCAGAAAACCAGAAGUGUAAAAUUCACUUGUAUGUAACUAUGAAACCAAAGACGUUAACUUUAUAGUAGGGUUUGGAAAAAUAUGUCACACAACAGGAGGCACUCUUCCCAAUUCGAUAUUAUCUUGGCCUUAGCAUACAAGCCUAAGGAUUUUCCAUGAGGCUUCUCCUGAGGCUUCUCCUGAGACUAAGCUUGUGUCAGACAAAGCCACUCCAAACCCACAUAAGGAGAACUGAAUACGUUGUAGGCCGGUGCACAACGUGAAAGCCUUUGUAAACAUGGAUCCUCAGAAAAUGACCCUAUACAAAGAUGACUGGAGGAAAAGGAUCCAUACAGCUAACCACAACCAACUUCGAAAUUGAAGACUUGAGUCCGAAAAUAAUAUAUAAAUCAAAUAAAAUAAUCACAUCUCAUCUAGUAUAAAGCAACCACACAUAAAACUAUUAUUUCCCUUAUGUAAAGUUCUUACCAGUAAUAUGGUCUUCUAUACAUUGGAAUACAGUUUCCAAGCAAUGCCGAUGUUGGGCCAUAAUGACUUCAUUCUCUGGCAUGAAGGAGAAAUUGCGUAUGAUAUUUGAAGCAGCCACUGCACACUGCUGCUUUUCUGCUCGGCCUUCCUCAUCUAAGUUAAAUAGUCCAUCCUCAUUAAACCACCACUCUGAAGGACGAGCUUUGGCUGCAUUCUUCUGCCAUGAAGCUUCAGUUGCAGAGGAACCUGACCCCAAUCUGCCACACAAACAUUAUCCUUAUUCACUCUCCAUUGUUGUCAAAGCCAAAAGUUUUGAUGUUUUAGAAACAAGUAUCUGUACGUACACAGAACGACUGAGAUUGUUGGUUGAUCCCAAUGCCUCGUAUCCAUAGCCAAAUCCUGUAACCAAAGAAUUGGCACCUAAAGUUCUAACCCUAGGUGUCUUGCUGAGCUCUACAGGAAGUGCUAUAUCACGCCAGUCAUCUAUCUGUUUCAUUUUAACACGUUAAUAAUUUCAAUAAUCCAAUUUGCAUAGUUUAAUGACUUCUUAAUUUUAUCAAAACUGUAUUGCAGAACAUCCCAUAUGCCACAUUUGCAUAGUUUUUCCUUCAUAUAAAAAGGUUGAUUUCAUUACCCAAUUAUGCAAAUUUGACUCAAGGCACAACACCUAUUAUGCAAUGAAUACCAACACCCAUAUACUUCUGACGUUCUAUAAUGCAAACUUCACCCUCUAGAUACAGACAUAAUCCCUAAGACACACAUAAAUACGAAUAUUUCUCUCCUUUUUUUUGUCAAAAAUAUUUCUCUGACUAAGUUAAAAGAAUUGAGGGAUGAGAUUGACAUACAACUUGGAGAAGAGCAUCAAGCAAGCCAGGGAUUUUAGCCAGAGAAUCCUUUCGCAUGUCUUCCUUUUCUUUGAAAGAGAGCAUUGUAAGAGUGUUCAAAGCCCAUAUCAAUUCACUCUUCAACCCACUUUGAAGAGCCAAAACUAUUCUCUUAUUAUUUUGAUCUGAAAAAUAGAAAGAAAAAUCACAAUGAUUGUUAGCUAACACAGAAGUGGAACUCAAAUGGCUGCUUAGGUUUUCUGUUAUUUGAUUAACCCACCUACAAAGGAGGUGUGAACUUGAAGCGAUGGGCCAAGGAGAUUGGACGGAGCCACGGUGUCCCCGCCGGAAGAUGAAGAGGCGAUAUUGCUGCUUGUGCUGCCGAAUGGGCGGCCACGCUUGGCCGCUGGUGCGGUAGCACCACCAGCUGAGCCACCAGCCUUGCUCUGGUCCCUCUUCUGCAUCACAGUCUCGUCUUGCGGGUUGCCCGUCUGGCGUGGCUAUUUGGCAAUUACGGAUCUAUUUUAGGGAUUGUGCGACCCGGGUCCGAGAAGACCGCAUAUUUAACUGGCCUGGGACUCUGGACUUUAUGCAUGGUUUUUAGUGGUCGACCCGAACAUGAAUAAUAUGGAUCCUACACCAAAAAGAUUUUCUAUUUUAUUUUUUUAUUUUAUCAUUUUUAACUUUGAAGGAAAAUGUUUAAAAAAAACUUUGAAGGAAUAUAAAACUGUAUGUUAUAAAUCUUAUAUAAUUAUAUCAAUAAAUUAUAUAUAUAUAUAUAUAUAUAUAUAUAUAUAUAUAUAUAUAUUUCUUUUGAUUAUUUGAAUGUCAGCAUAAAUAAAUUUAAUUUUCGUAAAAUAUUUAUCAAUAUAAAAUAAAAUAUAUUGAUUAAAAAAAGGUUUCUUUAUAAAGAAAAAUUUACAAAACAUAAUUUUUUUAAUCAUCGCAAUGAUUAAUUAUUGGCCUUUUAUUAUAAAUUGUUAGAUAAAUUGGUGUUAAUUAUUAUUAUUAUUAUUAUCAUUAAAAUAUAUUUAUUUAACUCUAAUACUUCCAUUUAUUUUAGUCCAUUUAGUAGUUAAUAAUUAAGAAAAAAUAGAAAAUACCCUCAUUAAAUUAAGCAAUCUUAUAAAUAAUAAUUAAAUUAGUUAUAAUAUUUAUUAUUAUAUAAUAAAAAUUAUACAUUUGAAUAAAAAAUAAUUAUAUUUUAAAUUUUAUUUUUAAUUAUUAUAUAUAUAAUAUAAUAAAUUAAUAAUUAUAUAUAUAUUUUAUUAAUAUAUAUUAUUAUUAUUAGUAAUUUUAUAUGACCAUUUAAAAAAAAAACUUUCGACGCAAGUUUUUAUCAGUAGGUUUUUUUGUGACUUGAUACUCUCGCCUUUUCAUCUUUCUCAAACCUAAUUUCUUCUUUUCCCUUCCCAUGAAAGAUGAUAUGCGUUAAUUAACUAUCGAUAAAAAAGAAAUAUUGUUGUCCCUAUUAAGAGUUCCAGAGAUAUUCUGAUCGUUAUUUAUAAUUUCUGUAUGGUGGAGAUAUUUUUCACAUACAAUCCAAUUAAUUUUCAGAAUAUACAAAUCUCUUUUACAGAUUUAUGACGGUAAUCAUUGGACAGUUAUUGUAUUGAAAGAUUUAAUUUCUCUUACAGGCUGAAUAUUAUAUUUUUGAUGAAAAUAAAAACUCUUAGUUCUCAUAUGAAAUUUUUUCAUAAUUUUUUAUAUUUUGAUGGUUGGGAGGAGGUUUUCUAUUAAUGUGGUAAACUCUUAGUUCCCAUAUGAAAUUUUUUCGUAAUUUUUUAUAUUUUGAUGGUUGGGAGGAGGUUUUUCAUUAAUGUGGUAGAUUCAUAGGUCUGUUGCUAUAGUUGGCUUUUUUUUUAAAUUUUAUUGAUUCGAUUGUUUCGUAAGGUAAUAUUCAAUGGAGAUUUACUAAUUAUUAUGGAUUUCCAGAAUUGCAACGACGAUAUCAGUCUUGAAAUCUUAUUCGAAUUUUAUCUCGUAGCAGCUCUUUUCUGUGGUUUUAUUUGGAAAACGUUAAUGAUUUAUAUUCGAAAGAUGAGAAAGGAAGAGAAGUCUAUUUGCUAAAUUAUCUUAUACAAUAGUUUAGACCGUUAUUUGAUGUGUAUUUUUAUCAAAUUAUUUUAUGCAAAAAUUUGAUUUUAAAUAAUUAUAAAUUUUAAUUACACUUUAGAACUGAUAUUUCUAUUAGAUAAAUUUAUCAUAAUGUUAUUUUAUCUGUUCAUACUUUAGUUAUUUCUUAGAAUUUAUUUUUACCGUUCCUGGUGGUAUUAAGAUAUCACUGCUAUUCUAAUCGUUAGAUAUUUUAGCUCGAAAAACUAUAAAAAAAGUAAUUUUAUAUGAAAAUACUAAUCAUUAAAUAUAAUUUAAUAUAUGGGUUAGUAUGAGUUAUCAAUUAUCAAUAAUCCCUUAUCAGUGUUGAUUAGGCAGCCAAAUUAGGGCAAGUCCGUUCCUUGAAAUUAAAAUGCUAUAAAAAUGUUAAAAAGUGUUAAUAUAUUCAGUUUUUUGCUGUUCUAGUCGGUUUGUCGUCAGUUGGAAUUUAGCUCGCCUGAUCAUCCCUGCAUUUGAAUUUGGUGGAGAGAGAAUGAAUGCCUUCAAGCAGAGAGCUCACCAUAUUACUACAUCCUCACAAAAGCUUAAAACAUCUCAAGCAAAUUCACUCUUUCCUCAUCACUAGUGGUCUCUCACGGGACACCUUCUUCCUUACCAAACUUUUCCAUUCCCUAACUCUCGAUCAUGGCUGCCAUCUCGCCUACGCAUCGCUCCUCUUCCAGCACAUGGAAACAACCAGCAUUUACCUUUGGAAUACCGUUAUCGGAGACUUCUCUGUCAGUGCCCAACCCCUCAUGUCUAUUGUUUUCUAUACGAGAAUGCGCCGAAAUGAUGUCCACCCCGAUAACCGCACAUUUCCUUUGCUGCUCAAGUCGUUUUCACAAUUGAAAAACGAAAAUCCAUUUCCUAUUUACGCUCAUAUUGUCAAGUUCGGACUGGAAUUUAACAAUUUCGUUAGAAAUUCACUUAUCACUGCUUUUGUUAAUUGUGGGAAUACUGUUUUUGCACGCCAAGUGUUUGAUGAGAGUGCACACAAGGACGUUGUUACUUGGACUGCAAUGAUUGAUGGGUAUGCUAGAAAUGGUUUUCCUAUCGAAGGAUUAAAAUGUUUCAAGCAGAUGAUAUCAUCGGGUGUGAAGGUUGAUGAGGUGACUGUUGUAAGUGCUCUUAGUGCAGCCGGGAUGACUGGUAAUAUUUUGUUUGGAAGAUGUGUUCAUGGGUUCUAUAUACAACCAGGAAGAGUGAAAUGGGAUGUUUACGUUGGUUGUGUUCUCGUGGAUAUGUACUCAAAAUGUGGUUAUAGCGAUGACGCCCGUAGAGUUUUUGAUGAAAUGCCAAUUAAAAAUGUUGUUUCUUGGAGUGCGUUGAUAGCAGGUUAUGUCCAAGGUAAUAGGUUCAAAGAUGCGCUACUUCUCUUUCAGGACAUGCUGAUAGCGGAUGUCAGGCCUAACCAAACUACUUUAACCAGUGUUCUCACGGCCUCCGCCCAACUGGGCGCAUUGGACCAAGGUAGGUGGGUGCAUGAAUAUAUAAAUAGGAAUGCAUUAGAUAUGAACUCAAUUACUGUGACAGCCUUAAUAGAUAUGUAUGCAAAGUGCGGCUGUGUUUGUGAGGCUAUGCUGGUUUUCGAGAAUUUUCCUAAGAAGAAUGUCUACUCUUGGACUGCCAUGAUUAAUGGAUUGGCAAUGCAUGGGGAUGCUUUGGGUGCCUUGAAGCUGUUCCUCCAAAUGUUAAGUAGUGGGGUGCAACCAAAUGGAGUCACCUUCAUUAGUGUUCUCAGUGCCUGCGCUCAUGGAUGUCUUGUAAAUGAGGGAUGUAACUUGUUUGAGCUGAUGAAGCACAAAUAUCACAUGGAACCGAACAUUGAUCACUAUGGUUGCAUGAUUGAUAUACUAGGUCGGGCAGGGUACUUGGAGGAAGCAAGAAAGUUGAUUAAAGAGAUGCCUAUGGAGCCUACUCCUGGUGUAUGGGGAACUCUUUUUGGUGCCUGUAUGAUUCACAAGGCCUUUGAUCUAGGGGAAUACAUAGGCAGCCUUUUAAUCAGGCUUCAGCCAAAUCAUAGUGGUCGGUACGCCCUUCUGGCAAACAUGUACUCAGCAAAUGAUAGAUGGGAUGAUGCUGCAUUUGUGAGGAAGAUUAUGAAAGGGAAAGGCGUUGAGAAGAGGCCAGGAUUUAGCUGGAUAGAAGUGAACGGUUCAAUUCAUGAAUUCAUUGCUUUUGAUGGAUCUCAUUCUGAAAUCACUAGUUUAUAUGAGAUGUUAGACAAUAUCUUGCUUCAGUUGAAGCUUGCUGAUUAUCUUCCAGAGACCAUCCUUUUUGAUGGGGAUUAAUACUUAAUUGCCGCAUCUUCUCCAACAUUUUGAGGUGGGCUCUGGACUCUUUAACACAUUGAUCCAAGAUAACUUAUUGAUCUUUACUGUUAAAGCCAAAUAUGCUAGAAUAUAUAUAUAUAUAUAUUUUUUUUUUUUUUCUUGAUGCGAGAGAUGCAGUCUUUGCAAUAAACUAUUGAUAUGUUUGUCCUUGUAGGAUUUAUGUUACCUUUUUUAUGACCCAUCUGAAGGUAUUAGGGUGUAGGGAUUUAUUGUGUUCAUUUUGUUUAUAAAAUAUGGCUAUAUAUCUUUCGACUUCAAUUGGAUUUUAUAUAUGAUCACCCUUUUGUUUCAAUUUGCAACUGCUUCAGAACUUGCAGGAGUUGCACAACAAAAUGAUGUGGCAUAUUUGAUCUAGUAGUUCUCUCAGAUUUUAUUGCCAUCCUAUUUCCAUUCAACAUGCCUAUAUUCGAAAUGGAAUUGUUGAAUAAGUACAUGCACUAAAGAUGAUGCGCCCAUUUGGUUAGGGCUCUGAAAAAAAUGGAAAAGUUAAGUCUUUCACAGUGGAAGACGCGAUGGAUCACUAGAGGAUGCAUGGUUUAUGAAAAGGGAAAUUAUUUGAUGGACUAGUCCAUCAUGAACUCAAAACACAUGAAUGUGGAUUCUAUGUGAUUUUUUUUAUUGUUUUUUGGGUCUAUAUGGAUCAGGUCAAUGAAAUCGAAUGUUGGAAUUUUAGCUUCUUGCACAUUAUAAUGGUGUCGGAGAAUAAUUUGAGCAAGUCCAACUUGCACAGCUUCUAAUAGGGGAAAAACCAAAUGCUAGAGUCAUCUUUGGUGCCGUGAGUUCUCGAGUUAAUUUAUAAAAGAACAAAUAAGUACAGGAAAAGAAAUGAAGAAACUAAAAUACAAAGCAUCUUGGCCAAGUACCAUCUGUCCUACAUCAACAAGAGAUGAGUUCACACAAGCAACAGGUUUGUCUACUAAACCUUUUUUUACCGUUAAUCAGAAACUUGAGAAAUUUGUUAAUUACAUUCACAUAAUUUUGCUGGUAUUUCACCUGAUAAUUUACUAUCAUUGUUGUUCAACCUACACUAUUUGGUGGAAUUGUAAAGAAUAGAAAUAUAUCUCAUUACUAACAAUUAAAAGAUAUUUAUAAACAUGAUUAAGUAAAUAUGAAAUAUAAUAAUCUAAAUUAACAUUGAUGAAAAUUAAACUUAGAACUUUUGAUUGUAAUAUGCGAAUUGGAUAUUAAAUAUUUUACAUGAUUUGCAAUUCCCACUAAUCUUGGGUUGACUCUGAAAUAUUUGCUUGAAAGUUCAUCAAUGAUUAGCUAAUCAUUGACUAUUACAUUGAUAAUUAGUUAUUAUUCUUGAUCUUGGGUUAUUAUUUGAAGGAUAUAUAUAUAGAGAAUUUUUAUUAAUUUUUUUUCAAACUCUUGGUUGGUGUUAGGGCCAACCGGCUUGUUGUUAGCUUCCAUUUGAUAAUUUUUCAAACCCUCCUUUGAUUUCAACAGUGGCAGCUCAAACUCACAAAGAAGUCUCGAUUAAAACAAUGUUUUUUUAAUAUAUAUUUAAAACUUUAAGAAAGAGACUCAAAUUUAAAUUCAUAAACCUCUUAGAUUAUAUAUGACACAAGAAGUAUUAGCUCAGUAAUUCUAAAUUAAAACUCUGUUUAAAAAAGGCCAACUUGGCCUUAUUUUGUGUUUAGCUUUCUCUCAAAAAUGAAUAAUUCAUAAUUGCAUUAUGCAGUAUUUGAAUUGGAGACCUUCUGAUUAAGACAUCGGAGCAUUUAUUAAUAUAAUUAUAUGAGGGAGAAAUCUAACUUUUAUUUUUCAACCUUACCUUAAAGCAAGGGUCAUAAACAUUUUAUAUAUGUAACAGGUUGUUUGCAUUUGAUUAAGAAAUUUCUGAUGCACACUAUGAAUAUUAUAUUCCCAAAUCACACUACUAGAUAUGAUUCUCCUUUCUCUUAUGGAUAAAUAUUUCUGCUUUCUAAAAUAAGGUCUCCAUAUAAUACUAAUGCAACUUUUGGGUUUGGUUGAAUUUAGGCCACUUCUUGCUGAUAAAUCACAAAAUCAGGGCUAAACCAAUUGAAGGAUCAGAUAAUGUUUUCUUUGUUGGAAAUGGCAAAUUCUAUUAGAGUUUUGAAUAUUCUUUUUAUGUUCAUCAACUCUGGAAUGCACUUUGGAUUCAGUUUCAAAACUAACAACUCAAAAAGAAAAAGAAAAAAGAAAAUAAAUUAAAGGCAUGGAUCAAAGUAUGAAACAAUUAAAUUGCCUAGUGAGGUUACAGUUACAGGCAGGUACAUUACAGGGUCAUUUUAAAAAAAAAAAGAAAAAAAUUGGAUCUUAUAUGAUCCUUAUAAGGAUUUGAUAUGCUGAAAACUUCAUUUAUUUUUGGCAGUGUCAUCAGUAGCUUCUGCAAUAUCUUCAGCUAUUAUGUAGCUGAAAAUGCAGCAUCUCAUAGUAAUAAACUUAGUCAGUGAGCAGUAGGUUUUAUUUCCCUUUUAUUCUAAUGGGUUUUCAUUGUUGAUCUCUUCCCAAAAUACUUCUGCAAGCUUUUCUUACUCCUUUCAUGGAGUCUUAAUUGGGAUUCUCUCAGAAUUAAGAUCAAUGCUGAGUGAAAUAAAUGCUAGCAAGUAAUGUAAUGGCACUUUACUUGAUCUUUGUUCAGUUAAGUUUUGCUAUUUUUGUGGGGUAUUGAAUACAAGGUAAUGGCCCAUUUCAAAGACAAGUGUUGUGUCCGUGUUUAGGGGUUGGAAAAGUGAAAACAAAGAAAAAGUAGUUGUCAAGUGAAACAUUUUUGGGAGGGACGGCCAUAAACUCUAACCUCUUGUUUAGAUCAAAGAUUUAAAAAAAAAAAAAUCAAAUUUUAUGUUUGAAAUGUGAGAAUUUCUUUUUUUUUAUCAACUUACCAAAUUUUCAUCCUUAAAUAAAAUAAAAUAAUAAAUAAUUUUAUAAUAAUUUAUUUAAAAUAAAUUUAUUUAAAAUAAAAAAUUAGCAUGAAUGGGUAAUUGAUAAAUCCAAGAAAAGUGAAAAGAAAUGUGCUAAAAACUCCAUUAAAUGGAUGAGAUGUGAGUGGUUGUUUGUUCCUUUUCUUGAUUAUGUUCUGUUCCCUUAGGACGCAAACAUUCAACAUGCAAUGAUGGGGUCUUAGUUUCCCUUUUUUUUUUGUGAUAUACUGAUUGAAUGUUAAUAUUUUAAUUUUCAAAAUUUUUUAAUUAUUAUUUUGAAAUGUUUAAUAAACACGAUUUUUUUAUAUAUAUAUUUUUAUAAAACAUAAUAAUUCAAUUAUAAUUUUAUCAUAAAAAAUUAAGAUUUUCCUGAUUGUCUUCAAGUGUUGGGUAUAUGAAAAAUCUAGACUAAUCUCAUGAUGGGAGAUUUCAAAAUAUGAAUAAAGAUCACAUAGAAAUAGUUAAGAUCACAUUAUUAUGAAACAUAAGCGAUGGUCUAAUGUAAUAAUCAUGGGGGCAUCAAAUAAAAUAAGAGGAAGAAAAAAAAACAAAGGUGAGGUGCAGGAUAGUUAGCAUGAGGGGUAGCACUUGGAAGCCAAAUUCAAAGAGCAUUAUGAAUAGUGUGAUUUCGUGAAGGCUAGGCAAACUCAGUGAAUCCCCAAAUUUACACCUCACAAGCAAUCUCUCUCUCUCUCUCUCUCUUGAGAAAGAGUAGGCGGUGGGUUGCUUUCAUAAAGCCAUUAUUAUUAUCUUAGGAGAGAGAGACCCCACACCUUCAGUCCCUGUGAUCCAUCUAACGGUGUAGAAAUUUCGUGUACGAUUGAUUGAAUUUUAAUUCAUUAUUAAAAUUAAAUUGUACUUAUUAAUUCAUAAAUUGAAUUCACAUUUCAUUCAAUUUUAUAAAAUUCGAAGUUUCAUCAUCGGAUUUAAUUGAUUUAGUUAAUAAAAUUAUAAUUUUAUACACAGAAGAACAACGUACUGCUAAAUAUCCUACCAACUAUCAAAGUUAAAGAGUAAAGCCCUUUUUGUUUGAAAUGGAAGACAAAGAGUUUUUUUUUUAUUUAUUAUAAAAUAAAAAUUACUAAAUAUUUAAAUUAAUAUCAAGUAAAUUGAAACUAUAUUUAAAAGGAUUAUUUUCAUUAAAUUAAGUUUGAAAAAUAAAAGCUUUAAAUACGUAUGAGACCUUAAUCUCCGGAUUUAAGGAUUAUUUAUAAUGGCAUUUAAUUUCUUUUUUCCUAUUUGAGACCACAAUAUAGUGCACCUCUUUGGACUUUGACUAUCUUUAAUUAAUUUUUCUGACCUACUAGAUUUCAAUUUCGUACCUGCAAUUCCAUUCAAUUGCUUAUCCAUUUCUUCUGCCAAUAUAUCGCAAUUGAACUCUUUUUUUUUUCAAAAAAAAUCGUCUAGCUAAUUAAUAAAAUAUAUAAACAAGAAAGAAAUAUCACAUUUUACAUAGAGAGAUAAAUAUUAGCGGACUAUUGAUGUAAUUGCAGCUGAUGGCUUAGGAUGUCGAGUCAAAGGCCAAUGGAGGGUCAAAAUCAUCUCCUCUUUACUUUCAAAUGUGUUUAUCUGGCACGUGUUAGAGCAUAUUCGUAGUUUCUACUGCUAUUUAUGUACACGGUCAAAUUCAGAAAAUAAGGCAGAAAAAAAAUGAAAUGAAAAUGAUUUUUUUUUUUAUCGAAGAAAAUGAAAAUUUUGAUCCCAAGGCCGUGGGAGCCAUUGAAUGAAAUCACGAGACCAAGUUGAGCGCGAGGAAGGGACGGUAAAUGGGGCGUUUUCAGUAUUCCAAAAAAAAAAAAAUAGAGAAAAUAAAAAUACGAGUGCAAGUACUGUUUACCAAAAACGUAAAAAGAGGAAGGGAAUAUCACGCCCUUCUAAUGAAAGUUUUUGCCUCCUCCUCACGGCGUUCGAGACGCCACGAGCCACUGCAGUCGACCACAACACCACCUCCUCUUCCUCCACUUUUUUACCGAGGAAAAUAAAAUGAGAAAUUCAAUUGUAUAAAAUUCUAAAAAGUAAUGGGCCUCAAAAGAUGAGAAAUUAAGAAAGGAAAUCCUCGUCCUCCUUUGUUUCCCUCUGGAGAAACAUGGCCUCAAAAAUAUUAUUAUUUUUUAAAAAAAAAAUAAUAUUAUUUUUUUAAAAAAAAUAAAUAAAUCUACACCACUGCAUUUGGAAACGAGGACUUUCUGGGGAGUUCUAUAAUCUUCCAUUGUUCCAUAUUUCAGAAAAUAUAAUUCAUUUCCAUUUUGUUUUUCUAUUUAUAAAAAAGUUUUUAUUACAUUGAUGAUGAUAGAUUCUCUACUAGUGCUACUGCCUCUGGCUCUGGCUAUUACAACACCCUCGCAAGCUCAGGAUAUUUUUUUAAUAAAAAAAAAAGGAAAGACAGAGCUCGUACCGAUAAACACUAUCCGAUGAUAUAUUUCACUUUUAAUAUAUAUAUUUUUUUAUACCUGGAAAAUUUAAGGGAAAAAAAAAAAAACUCAAAAUUUUUUAUGGUUUCUCUUUGAGCAGAGAAGCUAAUCCUGUCACCAUCCUCGCUCCUCUAUCUACACUCUUCGGUUUGACGGCCGGCGGCUGCCAGGUCGCCGGGUCUAUGUUAACUUUAUCAUCGUCGCCGGAAAGUUUCGCCGGCGAUGAUGAAUCAGUGCCCACCUGCGCUGUUUUUUCGCCAAAAAUCAGCUCGAGUUCUCCACAUUCGUCACUACUCUCCGUAGCAACACAUUCGUCUUCAUCGAUUUUGGAUUUUGUGUUUGAGAUGAUUUCGUUUUGCCUGGUGAAAGAAGAAAGCCAUUUAGCUCGCAUGUACUCGGCUCUUCUCCACGGAGGAAAGUGCAUGCCUUUCUUCUUCAAGCUCUGCUUUGCUGCCUCCGAUACGAUUGAAACGAUCUGGCCCAGGCGAUCCGAUUUUCCGACGAAGAUGUACGGUAGUGAUUGCAGGAUUGCCCUGUAGGUCCCAGUUGAUCGAGCUAUUUCGAACUCCGAUCUGAAAUCAAUAUCGAUCAAAAGCCUCUCUCCUUCUAUAUUCACAUCGAUAUACUCAUAUUCACCUGAUUAACAGGUUAAGCAAACAACAAUUUCAGAAAUUUUCCCUUCCAAUUUUCAAAAUUUUGACUCCAAAUGAAGAGAAAGAGUAAAAACUGAAAGGUACCUGCAGGAUGAGAGGGGGAUUUAUCCCAUUUUGAUUUGCAAAUGGAGGAAUCGUAGCCGAGAGAUAUUAAUCCAUCGGCUACGAUCUUUCUCAAAUCGUCCUUUUGCUUGUGAUUCUUGUUCUUAUCGACGAUCAUCGCCGUAUCAGCUAAGAGGUUUCUCUCGUGAACACUAGCACAGGGAAUCAAACUCUGUUUUUAACACCGCAGACAUAAACAUUUAUUUAGCCAUUUGACCUUCAAGGAGUCGUACAGCUUCAAAGUUGAAAGGGCAGAGUUCUCUUAAAUUGAAAAUUGGAAGAGGUUAUUCGAAUUUUACCUUAAGGAUAUCAGAGGCAUCGACUGAUGACCCAUUGAUGAUCGAUUCCCCAAAAUUACCACCACCGAAUACAUCAAAUUCAUCAUCGGAGCUAUCGUUAAUAUUCCCGUUAAAGCAAUUGCAUCGGUGACGGCCGCGAAACGGCUUCUCGUUGCUUUCCUCAAUGUAAUUCUGGACCAUUUUUGCCAAACAUACUGAGCUCGGCUCAAACUCCGUCCCUGCACCUACUCCAUCCUUUGUCCCAUUCUGUGCUUCACCGACGCUUGGCUUUUCCACCGAGGAAAUUCGCAGCACACUGGGGAACUGCCGGUCAAACAGCCUCUUCAGACGCGAUUUCAACACCGGCUUUAGCGGUUCGGCCCGCGCCGGAACCAUCGUCUGACAGUCAAUAUCUAUGGGUUGAAUCUUCAUAGGAAAAGGCUCAACAGCUAUGAAGAUUAUGAAGAUGAUGGGAGAGAAGACCGAAGCUAAAGGUUGAAGGUUAGAAGUUAAAUUGGAUUGAAUGCUCUGUUUUAAGCUCUGCGUGUCAGUUCUGCUCCAUAUUCAGAGCUCUCCAAAUACUUAGAUUGCACAGACUCACAGAUUUGCAAUGACUAAUCAAUGACUUCUGGUCCUGAUUCUUGCAGUAAAUUUUCAAAACUCAUGAACCAGACAAAUUAAAAAAAUCAAUGCCACAGGCUAACAAUCAAAUUCAUACACAUUUUACUCCUUCACUAAGCUACAACAAUAACGCCUUACCCAAGGAAGAAAAAGAGAAAAACCUCAAAAUCGGAAUCCUCAACAGGAUCACCACACCCAAUCAAAAAGCCUCUCAAAAUUUAAUAUAAUCCCAGACACAAAUUUCUCCGCAAGCAAAAUCCAGUACUUUCCCUCCGUGAUUAGAAAAAUCGAAUAACUUAGAAGAUAUGCAAGAGAAAAUUAUGCCUUUCAGCUUAGGCUUUUUUCAAAGAAGACGUGGUGGGGGUGAUCGGAAGCACGGGCAUUGCGUAUAGAAGCAGAAAAAGUAGUCCCAAGGAUACUCAUAUCUCCGGCGGGAUUUUAAUCGCCGGCGCGGAGAAGUGGAGAAGAAAUUGAUGAAGUAGGAAGAACAACAACAAAAAGACUUCGUGGUGGGGUUGUGGAGCAAGGGGGGGUUAGGUGUUUUUUCGGUAGAGAGUGGACAGUGGAGAGCGCUGAAGAUGAAAGUGGAUUAGCUCAGGGCUUUUAUAGGUGAAACGGCGUUGGCCAAGCUGACUAGGCAUCAAGUUACCACGUGGAAGCUGACAUGGCAAAUUUUAUCCUCUGUUUGCAGUUUGCUAACAUGGCAUGCGUUAGCAAGCGAUAAAUUAGUUUGAUUGUGGAGCUUUGUGCGUAUAUGUCACGUGCCGGCACUAGAAUUCGUGAGCAUUGUUGAUUGACUCCUUGUUGAAAUUACGAAGUUCACCUCCCACUACGGUGCUGUGGACCUGUGGUUGCGGAGAUACGUGGAACAGUAGUGGAUGAUUAGUGGGGGCAAAUUUGAAAUUUGAACAGAAACAGAGGGGAGAAAGGGGCGGUGCUGUAAAGUGCAAGUGCAUGGUGUUUUGUUUUGUAAAGAGGUGGGCGCCUAACAUUGUGUGACACGUAGCGGAUGGUACUGUAUCAGUUACUUUCUUUUCCUUUUGUUUUUUAAAGGAAAUUUAAAAUUUUAAGAUCAGGUUAUUUUGGACCGUUCGAUUAUUAGAGGAAAAAGAUCGGACAUGUAGAUCUCACUAAAGUUGUCGGUUUAAUAUAGGGAGAAAUUAUUAGUGUAUCUGAAUUAUUGGUUCUUUUCUUUUCUCGAAUGAAAAUUCACGUUUUGUAAUUUAUUGAAAAUUUUAGGUAAAACUAUAAUUACUGACUGUUAUUAAAAUUUAUACAUUAAUUUUAUAAUUAUAAACAACUUAUAAUUUAAUCUAUUCCACAAAAAUUAUAGUUAAAUUGAUAUACUAUAUUCUUUUGCAUUAACUAUUUAAAUUAAAAUGAUUAAAAUAUAUAAAAUUAUAAUGAGUAAGUAAUAAAUGGAAAUGAAUUAAUUUAUUAUAUUUUAAAUCAUAAAAAAAAUUCAAUAGUUGCUUUCUAAAAGUAAAUGGACCAAUGGAAGUAGAUUACACGAAUCCAGAGACUUAAUUAUAUUUGAUUCAAAAUUUUUUAAUGCAAAUCUAAAAGUAUUAUUCUAUGGCAUAAUUUUAUUUACUGUUAGUCAAUUUUUUUUAAUUUAUCAUUUAUUUAUUUUUUUGUUAUUAAAAAAAAAUCCUUUUAACUUUAGGUUAGUUUUAUAAAAAUUCCCUUAAUAAGUUCUCAUGUUAGAAAAUUACCCUUUUGCCUAUAUAUCUCAAAAAGAUUAAAACUAUUAUUUGAAAAAAAUCAUUUAAUAUUAUUUAAAAGCAGUAAAUUAAAAAAAAAAAAUCCUAAAUGCAUGUAUGUCUCAAGUUCAAUUCACCUUCCCCUCGUCCUUUUUCUCUAGCGCUGAGCAUCGUCGGCGACGGGGAACAUCCAAUAACAACGAAUGGCGGUGGGUGGCUAUCGAUGGGAAAUGCGAGAAGAGGAGCUCGCAAAACAUGGUUUUUUUGGCACCAUUUUCGACUGUUUUUGGCGAUGGAUUAACACAAUAUUGACAAUAUAUGUCCCAAUCUACCUCGCAAUGAAUGGGGGAACACAAGGCGGCAAAUCAGAGAAGUGCAUCUCUGGCUCUGCAACUUGAUGGUCUCAAUCCGCACAAACAGCAACAUCUAGCUAAGGCCCCCAUCUUUAACGAGCUCCUUCGAUAGUUAGAGUCGCGACUCCAUCAAUGAUACUCACAGCUAGUGAAAGAGUUCCAACAAUGCAUCAGACUUCAGUGACCUUGAGACAAAGAAAGUGAAAGGAAAUGAGGCAAAAUAGUAAUUUUUUUGAAUCAGAGGGACAAUAUGAUACUUUCAUUAUGUUCUAGUUGAAUUUUUUAUUAGGAAAUUAAAUGUAAUAAGUUUAAUAAUAAAAUAAAAAUUAUUUUCUCGUUAUUUUUUAAGAACAUGUCAUUUUUUGCAUUGUUUUUUUUAAAAUAUAUAUAUAUAUAUAUGAGGAUAGACGCUUACUAUGCUUACAAUUCAUUUGAUAAAUUAUAUUUUAAUUUUUAAAUUAUAUUAUAAUUAAUUAUUAAUUUUUAUAUUUUUAAAAUUAAAUACUUAAAUUUUUAUAUUUUUAUUUCGUUCAAAUAUAUUAUUUGUCCAUUUAAAAUUUUCUUUUAUGUUACCGUUAUUACACCCUACAAUACAUAUAAAAGAAUAUUUUACAUUUAAAAAUCUAAAUACUUUUUCUUUAUUCUAAUUCUCUCCAUCGAACGUGAAUGGCAAAUUACUAUAUGUCUACUUCAAGCAGUCAGAACCUGAAUUUUAGAUAUUUAUUUUUUAUCAUGAAAUAUAAGAGAAAUUAAAAAUAGUGAAAAUUUUUAAAAUUACAUAUUUUAAAUUAAGUGAUUUAUUAGUUUUUAAUAUAUAAAAAUUAAAAGAUUUAAGUGUUUAUAAUUAUUUAAAUUCUAUACUAAAAAAGUUUAUGAAAUCUCAGUAAAUUAAAAAAUUUUAAAUUAUUUUGUAUUUUUAUAAAAGAAAUGAGUUAAUAUUAUAUAUUUUAUUUUAUUUUAUAUUAAAAAGUUUUAAAAUAGUGAAAGUUUUCGUAAAACCGUAGAAUUUGAAUUUAAGAGUGGAUAUAUUUUAAUAAAUAAAAAUUAAAAAAAUUGAAGUAUUUAUAAUUAUUUGAAUUUUAUAUUAAAAAUUUAAGAAAUGAAAGUAAAAUAGAAAAUUUAAAAUUAUUUUAAUUUGUGUAUAAAAAAAAAGAAUUUAGAUUUUUAUUAAAUUUUUUUUUUUAUAUAUGUUGUAUGGUAUAAUAAGAGUAUUGUAAGAAAAAAAAUAAUUUUUAUAAAUUUGACCAGCUAUUUAUUUUUAAAUUAAUAAAUAAAUAUAUGAACGGAAUAAAAAUAGAGAAAUAUAAGUAUUUAAUUUUAAAAAUAUAUAAAUUGAUUCGUUAAUUAUAAUAUAAUGCAGGGACUAAAGUAUAAUUUAUUUUUUUAAUAUUAAUUUAGUUUUUAAUAAAAUAAUAUGAGUAGAUGGUAUAUUAAAAGUUUAUAAAUAAACUUGUUUUCAUUUAAUUAAUUAAUUUUUUAAAGUGUGUGAGAAUUAAAAAAAAAUGAUAUAUUAAUAGAAGUAAUAUGUUGAUAUUUUUCUUUUAAUGCAAAAAAAGAAAAAUAAAAUUUGUCUUUCAGCAUAACCAAAUUUAGGUCUCUAUUAUCUAAUACUAAAUUUAGAAAUUCUUAUAUAAACUUAUCCAUCAAUAAUAUGAGUCUUAUCUUUUUUUUAUGAAAAUGCAAAUUUUUUCACAUUAAACCUUUCUCCUNNNNNNNNNNNNNNNNNNNNNNNNNNNNNNNNNNNNNNNNNNNNNNNNNNNNNNNNNNNNNNNNNNNNNNNNNNNNNNNNNNNNNNNNNNNNNNNNNNNNNNNNNNNNAGUUAUGAAUUAUAAUCUUGAAUUAAAAAAAAAAAAAACCAAUCAACUUAUUCCAACAAUAAAUUUGACCCUUACAAGAUUUAAUAAAGGGUAGCUAUCAAAAGGAGUUUACUCUUACUCACAAGAUAAUCUAGAGAAAUAUUUCAUUUUCCAGUCACAUUAUUUUUCUAUUGCUUGAUAUAAUCUAACAUUCAAUUAUUGGGUUAGCAACUAUGCAGAAUCAAUUUUAAUAAAAUUAAAUAUUAUUUAUAAUAUAAAAACAAAAAUGCUAAAUUAUGUAUGUAACUGGUGAACACAGCAAGAAACUAUUAUUAAUAUAUAUAUAUAUAUUUUCUUGGUGGGGUUAAGUGAUAUUAUUUAGUAGGCCCCACACUUGCAUUAUGAAACUGACCCUCUUUGUUAUUUUUAUUAUUAUGAAAUAUUUUACUUGACAGUACACAUAUAGGACAAAACACACAACUAGAAGAAUCACUGUUCAUCAUUAAUCCUCAAUAAAUUAAAUUUGUUGGUGCAUAUAUAAUCAUUAAGCAUCAAUUAUGCUGUUUUUUUCCCCAAAAUUAUUACUAAUUUUCACCGUUUAUAAAAAUUAAAAAAUAUAUAUAUAUUUUAAAAAUAUGAAAGUCUUUUACACUUUUCACCUUAUGAAUUAUAAAAUUUUUAGUCGCAAUAUAAAAUUUUGCAGUAUCAAUCUAAAUUGGGCACCUAAAAUGGCUUUAUUUGCUUUGGAUUGUAAUGACAAAUUUGUGUAGAGAAGAAUUCAUCACUUGACUUGACCCUUGAAAUUGAUUUGAUUCAGAGUUUUAUACAAUUGGUUUUAAUAAUUUUAUUUUUUUUUUAUUUUUAAGAAAAAUGGAACUGAAGGUGUUUUUUUGUUGGCAAGUAAUCAGGAGAGGGAUCAGUUGAGACUUGGUCAAUAAGUAACACCAUCAAAAAAUUCCCAGUUGAGACAGAUUAUUUAAUUAAAUAUAAUUUAAUAUCAUAUGAAACAAUUUUUUUUUUAUAGAAAAAUUUGGUUCACAAACUUGGUCAAUCUUCAUUAAAUAUUAAUGGGAUUAACCAAUUUUAUCCUUAAAAUUAAUAAUGAUUUUAAAUUAAAGAGAAAUACUAAAAAGUAAAAGUAAUUUAUAAGUUAAUCUUUGUCAUAAUUCAUCUUUUUGACCAAAAAUACUCCAUCAAUGAUAUAUGUACAAUAAAAGAAAGUGAAUUUCAAAUAAUUACAUUUAAUCCCAAAACAACCUUCAACUUAAUUUUAUUUAUACCCUAAAUUAGGUUAUUAAUUAAUUAAUUAAAAAAAUAAAUAUUUAGUUUUAUAUUAUAGAAAAUUCACAAAUUAAUUUUCUGAUUUUAAAAAAAUAUAUUAAAUUAUCAUUCACAUUUUAAAAAGCUAUUAAUUAAUUAAUUAUUAAUUUUAGCAAAAUUACUAUUUAGAUUCUAUGGAAAAUUUAUUAAUUAAUUAUUUAAUUUUAAAAAAUAUAUUAAAAUAUUUAUAACAGUUUAAAAAGUAUACAACUUAGUGACUUCGUUAAUUUUAUCAUUAAAUAUUUUAUUAUUUAAUUUUUAUAAUUUUAAAAAAUUUAUUAAUUAAUUUUUCCUUAUUAGAAAUAUUUUAAAUUUUUUUAUAAUAUUUAACGGUUAAAACUAACACAGAAAUUAACUAGUAUACUUUUCAGAACAUCAAAAUUAUAUCAAAACUGAAAAACAACACUAAUAAAUUUUUUUUAUAUUAUAGAUUUUAAAUAGUAAUUUUUUCUAUUAAAUAUUAUAAAAAUAUUAAAAUACUAUCGAUACUGAAUAACUCAUUAAUAAAUUUUUAAAAAUCAACUAAUAAAUUUUUUAAAACUAUAUAAAUUAAAUAAUAAAAUAUUUAAUGGUUAAAACUAAUAAAAUAAUUAAAUGAUAAAUUUUUAAAAAUAUAAAAAAUAUUUUAAUAUAUUUUUUAAAAUUAGAAGUUAAAAUUGUGAAUUUUGUUAUAAUAUAAAAAUUGAAUAAUAAAAAUUUUAAUUAAUUAAAAAUAAUUUAACCAAUCUUUCUUAUUUUUAAAAUAUAAGGAAUAAAGAGUUUUGAAAUUUAAAUUAUUCAUUCAUUUAUUUUUAUUAUAAAAAUACUUUAUUGUUUACUGUACAACUCAUCAAUUAUAAUUUGAUUUUUGUUGAACAAAUAAAAGAUUAGUCAACAGUUCAAAGCAAUUAGACCGUUGGGGUCUAAAGGUAUUAUAAUGGGAGAAAUUAAAGAAAAACUUUAACUUUAUAUAGAUAUGGAGAGAGAUAGAAAGUUAAACUUUUUACUGAGGUGGUAAAAAAAAGGAGUUAAUCAAGAUUAAUAGUGAAGAUGACUCUUCAUUUGCAAGCAUGUCUGGUCGUUGUCCAAUACAAUUAUAGAUGCAGACACAAAUGUGGUCACUUUCUCCUGUGCCUCUAAACCCCACACCUCACCAUAUUAUUUGCCCGUGGGGCCUUCAAUUUUCUGGAUUAUUAUUACUUUUUUAUUGUUAGAAAUACAUUAAAUUUCCUUUUUAAAUAUUUAAUAUUCUAUAUAUUUCUAAAUAAAACUAUAACAAUGAUGAUAAAUAAGCCUUAGCCUUUCAUUGUAUGAGUGGUAAUAAAUUCAUAUUGUAUUAAUGCUCUAGCUAUUUUCUUUUAUUGCAUUUGAAAUUUACAAAUCUGAUUAAUUUGAAUUUGCGUUUAACAUGCUUAUCAAUAAAGUAAAAUAUUUUUUAAAUUUCAUAUUUAAAUUUUAAAUUUUAAAUUAUUAAUUAAUAAAAAAAAUCAUAUAAUAUAAUAAUCAUACUAUGUAUUGUAACCAAUGAGAUUACAUGACAAUAAUCUUAAUAGAUUAUGAUACUCGGCCACACUUAUAAUAAAUAAGACUCAGUCUGCAGAAUGAUCAAUACUCGAAACAAUAAAAAGUAUGUCUUUUGUGUUUGAAUGAGUCUCCCAUGAUAUAAGAUAUUAUACCGUAAAUUUUAUUAUGUUAUACUGUAAAUUUUAUUAUGUUUAUAAUAAUGAGAUAUCUUAUCCACUAAUUUGUAGAAAAUCUCUAACUAAUCUAUCUCUUUAGAGUAGAAAAUCUCUAACUAAUCUAUCUUUUUAUAAUAUAAAAGUAAAAUAUAUACAAAAUUUAAGGUAUACAUUUUGUCAUACUCUUUUAAAAUUUAAACAAUUUAUUCACACUUGAUUUAUAAUUUACUAAUUUGAGUGUCGGAAUAACUGUUUUAAAUACCAACUAUCUCAAUUGCUCUUUUUUAUAAAAUAACAGGUUAUUAUUAGGCACAUCAAAAAUUAAUAUCAUCCUAUUUUAUCUCUUGAAAAUUUUAAUUAGUUGAUUUAAAUUAACAUGUAGGGUAACUUUUUUUAAUAUCCCAGUUGAAAAUAACAUUAAAAAAACUCAUCCAUCAAGGAGUAUCAAAAUGAAUUGAAACAAAUUAAAAGCUAUAUAGAGAAAAUGAUUUAGGCUUGUCUAGGCAAAAUGGGUUUCACAAAUUAAAGUGAAGGUUCUUUUUCCACUCUUAGGUGCAUUGGUUGGAAAUCUCAACAACAAAAUCCCAAUAUUCUUGGGCAAGCAAAGAGCUCACAAAGGUUUAAAAUUAAUAGCAAUGCCAGUAUCUACUUUUUUUUACUAGCAUUAGGUGCCUGGGUCCACUUAAUUAUAAAUAAAAAUAAAAAUAAAAAUAAAAUUCAUACUCGAAUAAAUUCAAACCCUCUAUAAUCGUAUCAUAUAUUUAUACAUUGUCGAGUAUCAUUUGCAUCUCUAAAUUCUUUUGAUUAAUAUAUGAAAUGAUUAAAAGGCAAAGAUUAAUUAAAAAUUAGUAUGAACAAAAUCAUGUCAUCUGGAUUAAUUAGAGAUGUCAGAUUUGUAAAUAAUUCAUUGGGUUAUUUUCCUUUUUUUUUUUUUUUUGGUGUUACAACUUUAAUGUAGCAAUGCCAUUGAUUGCACUUUAGUGAACUUCUUUUGAUGAUGUCUAUUGAAAUUAUUGAGUAUCUUUAAAUAAAAAUAAAUAAAUAAAUAAAUGUAACUCAUGAUUAUUAUUUUAUCUUUUUAAGAACUUUUUUUUUUGGGAACAUGGUUUUGUUAUUAGCUUUUGGAGACUCAAAUGCUUUAAAAUUACCAUGUAUUACUUUUGAUGAGUUGAGGAAAAGUUUCUGACUUUAAGAAUUUUUUUGUGUUGAGUGAAAGACUUUAAGGAUUGUAUUAGGAGGUCCUACCUUCAUAAUUCUUCUUGGAAUAUGAGCAUUUUAGUACCUUCAACCUCUAAUCUUAUCCUUUACCUCCUACUUUUAAGAAUUUUAAUUAAUUAUAUUUACUGUUAUAAAAAUUAUAUUAAAAAAAUUUAUCGAUUAAAUUAUAAAAAAGAGGCCGGUAAAAUAAAUUAAUGGUCAUUUAUCAACCAUUUCAUAACUAAUUUUUACUUUUUCUCAUAAUAAUAAAUGCAAGAUAAUGUUCUGAUAUUAGAAAAAAAAUAGAAUUUAUAAGAGUAUGAGUAAGUUUAGUCAGGGAGGAUCACGUAUCCCUCUACUCUAUUCUAUUUUUCUUUAUUCUCAAAUGACGCAUAACCGCCAUCCUAUUACAGAGUCACUUGUCCUGUCACAGUCUCGUACAUGCAGAUGUAUUUUUUUACUCAUUCUUGUCAGGCGGCCAUUUAAUUUCUUUUCGGCGUGCAUGCUAAUAGAGUUGUGGUGUAGUCAGGCCUGCUCUCCUACCUCCCGUUAUAUUUCAUAAGCCAGACUCUUCUCUAAUGAAUUUAGGCUUUGGAUCAGUCCGACCUGCUUUGAUUACGGAUUGAACGACACGCUAAUAGAAUGAUUUGCUUAGAGAGCUUGCUUAGAGGGCUCUACUGGACUUUGAAUCUGUUUUUUUCUCCAAGAUCCAGCCUCAGCCUGAAUGCCAGAAGUCCAGCGAUCAUCAUAACAUUAUACUUAUUAAAAUUGAAUAUGAUUAUUUAUUUAUAUUCUGAUAUAUAACUCAAAAACCAAUUGAACUAAAAGCACAUAAAUGAAUUAAACAUGCCAAUCUAGUUUUGUAGUUCUUUUGAGAAAUUUUAGCUAAAUGGUGAUGUAUUCUAUAGCUUUAUCUAAAGAGGGGAGGGGGGUGAAUUUGUUAAUCAAUGCAAAAGCAAAAUGAUAUUUAAGUAAAACUAGAGAAGUAAAGUAGAAUUGAUUUUUUUUUUAAAAAAAAAAUUCCUUGCAUAAAUAUUACACGGAAGGAAAAAAAGAAAAGAGAAAUACAAGCUUGCUUUGUUAAGGCAUAAAGGAAUUUACGAAAAAAGAGGGAGAGGCAAGAGUGGGGCAUUGUAAGAGUAAAGUUGAUAAAUGUCAUUUUCCAUCCAAGUCCAUUGAAUUUCAUUACAAAUGAAGAAGAAGAAGAAGAUGAUGAGGUGGUGAUGGAGUGGUCCUUCUUCAAAAAUCCUUUAAAUUGGGUAUAGAUGGGGAGAGAGGGGUCUAUCAACUCUCAUCCAUGUGCACUGCAGUCCCCAUAAUCACUCUAUUUUCCAUAGAUUUUGCCCCCACUAUCAAAGCUGCUACUUCCUAUUUCUUCCUUUUGGAAAACCUAGUAUCUCAUCCUGGUGCCCGUUUUGGAUGCAUCACACUCACUUCUGUGUGAAAAAUUUAUUGGUUAGUUUUUUUAAAAAAUAUAUUAAAAUAUUUUUUAAAUUUAAAAAAUUAUUAAAUAGUUAUUCUAUUAAUUUUAAUUGUUAAAUAUUUUACUGUAAUUCUCUUAAAUUAAAAAUAUUAAAUAAAAUAAAAAGUAUCAACAGCAUAACCACUGGAACCAAAUAAUAGAAAGAAAACGUCAUUGCCUUAGCUUCUUCCAAUUAAUUUUGUUGGCCUACCAAACCCUUAAUUUUCACAAAUUAAAACCUAGUCAAAAUCACCUUAACAAUCUUACCUUAAUUUCAAAUUUUGUGCCCUAUCAUCUCAUGUCAUAUUCCAAGGAUUGGGACCCACUCUAUUAUAUCCAACUACUAUAUUUUUUUAUUCAUCUCUUCAUCAUAUGCUUUUGUUUAUUUUCCUCAUACAUUUAUAUAUAUGAAAUUAAUUAUUUUGAUUAUGAAAUUAAUUAAUACUCAAUUACUACAAUUUUUAUUUCAAUUGAGACAUAAUCCCAAUAAUCAAUAUUUAUUUAUUUAUUUAUUUAUUCUUGAAUAUAACAAAUCACAUGGUUGGAGAGUGAUGAUUGAUGAGGACAAUCAAAUGAAGAGGUUCACAUGUUUUGUUCUAAAAAAAAAGCCAAUUGAUUCAUGACUAAUAAUGUGCAAAAUCCAAAUUAAAGGCCUUAGAUUCAUCGCCAAUGGUAAGGAGCAGCUACAUUGUGCAACUUCUUUUUUUUUUUUUUUUCUUGUUUAAUAAAGAUAACACCUAUCUGGUUGUAUCAAUCACAGCAAAGUUGGUGUCUCAACAAUUUCCAUUAUUUUUUUAAAAAUUUUUUUCCUUAAACAAAUAAAUAAUAUUUUUUUUAUAUAUUAAUGGGAGAUGAUGAGUGAUGGGGACAUAAAGGUGUAUGAUAAGGAAGCUAAAUGUGAAAUGAUGGGCAUGUCCUUGUCCCUUGAACACCAAAAACCCACUUGUGUUUGUGAGCAUUGUGGUUGUGGUUGGAUUCAUAUUUUGGUUUUCAUUAUUUUUAAUGGGAAAAAUCCAAACUAGGCAUCAAUCUUAUAUUGUUCUCUCCAUUUGUUUCUUAUCAAUGAGGUUUAGGUAAUUGUUUAAAAAAUAAAUAAAUAAAUAUUACAAAGUCCCAGAAUUUUUUCUAAAAAAUAUCAAUUUAAUUGCAUAGCUGAACUGUUGGAUGAAUAAUUCAUGAUACCCUAUUUAAUGGGUGGGUUGAAGGAGUCUAAAUUGAUAAGAUAUAUGUUGGGCCACCUGUUGGGGCCUAUGGGGUUAGACCCCUAUGACCUAUCCACAAUAUCAUGACCUCACAUAUCUUUCCCCUCAAAAUUUGUGGCUUCAAGCGAGUAAUACAUAUGAACUAAUAAUAAUCUGAAAUAUUUGUAUUUUAAUAUUAAUACGAAAAAAUUAUUAAUUAUAUACUAUGUUUUUAAAAUUUAUUAAUAAAAUUCAUAUGAAAUAGUGCAUCAGCUUUAACCUGAAUUUUAAACUUUUUAACAUUUUAUUUUUAUUAAUUCUCACACCAAACCGAAUUUAAAUAUUUUACAAUGUGAAACUUGAAUAUUUUUUAAAAAAAAAAACUGACAGAUUUUUUUUUACUGACAGAUAUUUAUAUACAUAGAAAUGGUAAUAGAUAUUUCUUUUACAUAAAAGGGACAGAAUAGCCGAAUUAAUAACAAAAAAUUUUAUAAUUGGUUUUGUUGUAAGAAGUGUCAAUUUUAUUUUUUUGAUUGUUUAAUAUAAACAAAUAAAAUGGAAAAUUAGGCCAAAAUUUUUCUAUUAAAAAAAAAUCCCCACCAACACCAAAUGAAGAAUAUGACUAAAGAUGGGAAAUGAAUGUCAAGUAAAAUCAGUGGGCACCAAAUAAAAUGCUGAAUGGUUACACUGCAUUGGUAUUAUUCUUACAGGUGAAAGGAGGCGUUGCCCAGUCUUUGUUGUCAUGUAUAGGCCCUUAUUAACCUUUUCUAAUUUGGAUUCACAGCGCAGCAUCAAAACUGGGUCCCAUUGAAUUAUGUAUUGUCAUGUAUGAUGAUUUGAAUCCACAAUUGCCUUGGAAAAAAAAAAUUCCACAAUUAGGUUAUUUUAACAUUGUUUUUUGAAAUGCUUUUGUAAUAUAUAUUAAUUAAAAUGUUUAAAAAUAUUAAUUUAUACUCAUUGAAAUUAAAUUGCAUUUCCAAACAGUUUUCGCAACUCUGGACAAAACUCAUAAAGCUGAUGCGUCUUUGUUGUUACAGAGAUAGAGCAGUCAAUUGUUUUAGGUUUUAGUUGAAACUUCACAAUCGUAAAUACGUGAUUGAUUCUUGCUUCUUUUUUUUUUCUGAUAAAUAUGUACUGCUGAGAAGGAUUAAAGUUUUCAACUUUCAUGUUGCAAUCAGUGGAAAUCUGAAUUAAUUUUGCUCUACUUAUUGUUUUUUAAUACUUUCAUGAAGUAAGAUCCGAUACAAUUCAAACCCAAAUUUUCUUAUUUUCGUGAAAUUAAAUUAAUCAAGAUAUAGAUCUCAAAUCCUGUUAUUAGAUUCAGUAGAAGUAGCAAGCUGCGACAAUUUCUGAAAAGCCUUUAACCCUUCACACAUAAUUUUUCAGUGGCGAGAAACCAGCCUUGAGAGGAGAAGGGCUCUCCUUGAUUGUGAAAUAAUGAGUAAUUAAUUCCUUGGUAAUCACAGUAUUGGAUAUUAGUGAUAAGCAUUUGAAUAGAUGAAUAUAGACAAGAGACAUGGAAUAACAUAAUAGCUUAAAGAAUCUGCCAACAGUGUGUGUAGAUUAUGCUUGGUCUAAGCAUUUGUGGACUGGAAACACAGCCUAGUUGCUAAACAACAAAAUGCUACAUGGGUACAUUGUUUCUAAUUACAGCUCUAUCUUCAUUGGUACAUUUUGAAAUAUAUAACUCUCACUCUAAACAAAAUAAAGUCGCUGGUUAAAAUUGUGAUCACCAGCCAAAAAAUCAGUUGCUCAAGUGGACACCAAUCCAAGUAUCAAGAGUAUUCCAGCAGUAACCAAAUUGUAGAACCGGUAGCCAAGGACAUAGCAAAUAAUAGAUAACAUAGUCUAACAGGCGAUAGCAAUUUAAAAUAAAAUCUUAAGGAACAUUCAUGACUUGGAUGGACUGUAGCAUGUCUGAAACAGCUAUAACAAGGUCGCCUGAUUUGAUCAUUCCUCUAGCCUUGAGCAAGGAGAAGGUUUUAUUAAGGUUGCUUUCCAUGUCAUCUGAAAAGCUCAGGCGGAAAGGUAUCAGGCCCCACUGUAGGUUCAGGCGUCUCCUUACAGACGCUGUGGUUGUGAAAGCAAAGAUUGGACAGUCUGGCCGGCAUCGAGACAAGAGAGAUGCCAUGUGACCAUUCUUUGUAUAGACAAAAAGAGCAUCCACCGCCAAAUUGUUAGCUGCAAAAUCACACAUAUCAUGAUGCAUCAUGACCAUCAUCUAAGGAACAUAACUACACACUGAUGCACAUAAAAAUAGUGCCUUGACGGCUUGACCUUUUAGGUUUAGGAGUAUUCCUAUCAUUGAACUAGCCAAUAGAUAAAUAGGAGGUGCUAGAUAAAAGAACCAAAACUUGAAACCCACUUAGCAGGAUAUAGAAAUUUCUCAGUGACUAGUGUAGAAAGUGUCCCAAGUUUUUAAUGCAAUAUACACCAAGUAAACAGCCUGAUUCAGUUCAAGAAAUUCUCUCCAAACCAAACCUUGUAUAAACUUAUAUUCUGGAAAUAUAUCAUUUAAUCACAAAAGAAUUCACUAGAUCCAUCAACUGAUAUAUAGACUUGAACCAAAGAAUGCUUACCCAUCUUGGCAGCAGAGUUGCAGAUCUCUUCAGAGAUAAAGUCGGAAAAUGUGGAUCCUACAGCUGGAAGUUCCAUAGCUUCAUGGCGUUUCUCUUCUCUCCACCACUUCUCAAUUCUUACGCUGACACUUCUAAGAACAGCCAAUGCCUUCUCUGGGAACUGGCCCAUGGCUGACUCACCAGAGAGCAUCAAAGCAUCAGCCCGCUGCCUAACUGCUUCAGAAACAUCAGCUACUUCUGCUCUGGUGGGUGUAGGGUAUUCAAUCAUGGAUUCAAGUAAUUGUGAGGCCACAAUGACUGGCUUAUUUAGCUGCCUGCAGAGCUGAACAAUUUUUUGCUGCGCUGAUGGGACUUGUUCCAACGGUAUCUGUGCACCGAGAUCUCCUCUUGCUACCAUAGCUCCAUCUGAUGCUUGAAUGAUCUCCUCCAAGUUCUUCAAUGAGUCAAUGCUCUCUAUCUUUGCAAUAAGAGCUAUGUCACUGCAUCAGAAUAUAAAAAGUCCAAAAAGAUUGUAACAGGUGCUAACCGUUUUUAGAAUGAAAGCAAUUAUAGUUAAAACACAUACAAUAUAUGCUAACUGGCAGUUAAAAACACACACAACACAUUCAGUUAAAAACAUUUUUAAGUUAUAUUGUAACUGUCAACAGUAAAGACUGAUUGGUUUUAUAUAAAAAUUGUAAUGACUUGCAAGCAAGACAACAAAGAAAUCAGAACAACUCAGGCCAUCACAUAAUGAACAGUACAUGAGAUUGAUAAAAAAGCUCAGAUAAUUUAACUUGUAAAGAUAUGCUAACUGGCAGUGAAGUAUCCAGUCAAAUUCAAAACAAGGGUCUGGUUAUUAAUAAGAUUCAAACACAAAUACACAAUACUGGAAAUUUUAAUAUGAAGUGUUAAAUGUGCUUACGUAUCACGAGUCCGUGCAGCAAUGUAGCUUUUGAGAUGAUUAAUCACUUCAGCAGACUUGACAAAGGAUAUUGCAAUAAAAUCAACACCUUCUGCAAUACCAAAAUCAAUGUCUAACCAAUCCUGUAAUGAAAAAGAACGAGCAAGAGAAUAUAUGAAAUGUUUCCAAUAAAAAAAAACAGAUUCUAGAAAAAUUUAAUGCAGCACAGACAACUGAUAUGGCAUGCACAACAUUGGAAGUUCAUGCAAAUAAUAUUAUAAUAAUACGCAUGCCUGUAUACAUUUGCACAUACAACACAAACAACUUGUUUAGCCAUGUACACUCAUCCACUCACACUGAUAGGAGGCAACAAUUACUUGCAAAGUUUAAUCAACCACAGUCAAGUCUGAAACUGACUUUCAGCCCAUGUUGAAUUAAAAUCAAGAAGCCAACACAUAAGUUCUACUUGAAGUACAAUACUACAGUUAAUAUAGUUUACUAAUUUUUUUUUAUAAUUAUAAAUGGCAUUGAGAUCAAUUAUCACCUGAAAUUAAAAUGAUAAUUUAGAGAAGGUUACCCACUAAAGAAAUGAUGCACACAAAUGGACCAUCUCAUGGUGGUACAUAGCAUAAAGGGGAAAUUUCUAAUGGAAACUUCAUCAAAGUGAAGUUUCUUACAAUGAGAAGGAUGAUGAAAGCUAUUUAUAAAUCCCAGAAUGUAAUGGAAAUGAUGUUUCUCUUUACAAGACUUCCCAUCCAAAACAAUGUUACUUGAUUUGUGGUUUACUGUGACAUGUGGUACAGGUACAAGAUAUGACUAUUUUUAUAAGCAAUACGAGAGGUAGACUUGGUUAGUAUGAUAUAUGGGGUCACACUACACUAUACAUAUCGCACCAUUUGUCUUGAAUUAUAUGGAUGAAAAUCAUGUAAUUUAAAGUAAAAUUCUUUUAACAUUAAAUGUGUAUAUAAAAUUCAUGUAAUUUAGCUUAGAAUCAUAAAGUUAAAUUGAAUUAUUAGGCUUAUGUUAUGACUUAAGGCUAAGGAAUAAAGAAGUAGUGGAUUAGACCAUCAAUAGCAUAUUAUUCUCUUCAGUCAGUUGUAACUGCAGAAAGUAGUUAUGGGACCCAAAACAGUGUAAAUAAAAACUUACUUGUAAAGAGAUAUAUAUUCAAGAUAAUCUAUUUUUCUCUAGUUUUGCUUUGUCCUCUUCCCCAAUUCUCUUUAUUACUUUUCCUCUUUCUAUUUCUUUUCUCAACCCAAUCUACUUAUAUCUCUCUCCCCCUAUUUCACUGUUUCAAAGGGAAUUACAGGUCUGAUAUGUAACAGCUUACUUAUCUAUUCUAUUUCUUCUCCAUCACUUGAAUCACCUUCAACAUUUUAAAAUUCUUCAUUUGAUCUUUCAACUGCUCUUUUCACUUUCCAAAAGCCACGGUUGCUUUUCUUUUAUUUUUUUUUUUUUUUGCUAAUUCUCAAAACAAUAGAAGAGAGGAAAACAAAUUUGGCAGAGUUAGAGAAGGGUGUUAGUUUAAAUUUAAAUUUGACUUCACUUUUAAUAUUAAUAAACUAUCAAAAUUUUGCGUCAUAAUCACUAAUUAAUCUCAAGCAUAUAGUGGGAAACCUCUAUUAAGCCUUUUCUAGUUAUUGAAUAUACAUGAAUAACCACUAUUUGGAUAAUAUAAUUCACGGUCAGAAAGAGAUAUUACUUCUAAAAAAUAGGCAGGGAAAAGAAGGGACAGGGAAGGGUAGGAGAAGAUUCACCAACCUUAGAGGAUAUUGUGGGAAGCAUGGCAUUACGUUCUCGCACUAGACUCCCAUCCCUCCAGAAAGUCAAAUUAGCCCGUGGCAGUAACAGUCCAGGAUCAGUACAUCGACACUUGACAUCUGGACCAAUUUUCUCAAUCACCUCAAACCGUACCAUCCCACCAUCCACAAGGAGUUCGUCCCCAACUUUCACAUCUGUAUCACAUGAAUUACUGUCUCAAGAUUAUUUGAGAAUUAACAUGUGCAUCAGCAAAAAGAGAACAGAACAGUAAAAGAUGUCACUUCUCAUAAAGAUAACUUCAAGCAAAGGAUUAUGUGAUGAAAAUACCCUCAGCAAAACCAUCAUAGUUCACAUUGAUUGUGCGUUCUGGACGAGGUGAGUCAAAGGCUCUAACACUGAAAGUCCAGAUUUCACCAUCCUGCGCAUUCAGAGAAACAUAAUACAAUUAAGUUCCAAAAUUGUAAAAAAAACCUGCCUAAAUUAAAUAAGAUUUUUGUUGCAAGAACAUUUUAAAAAAUGAUUCAUCAUGAUGCUAGAUUUUGACAGCAGAACCAGAUGAUUCAUUGGGACAUAAUUCUAUCAGCAAGGUAACGCCAUCUGUGGAAGUGGAAACUAAUGAUAGUAAUGAUAAUAAUGCCAAAUCUAUUUCAUUAUAAAAGUAGUUCUUCUUUGCUCAAUGCCAAUUCAGAUAAAAACAUAGUAACAAUGUAUUUGAUCAAUAAUGACAAGGUAUCACGUUAAAUCAAGUCUUCAUUCAAACGCAGGUGUUGGCAAAACAAGCCUUUCUAUACAAUGCAUGUAUAGAUGCUAACGAAUGUGGGGAAAAAGGAUACAAUCUCAGUCAAUAACAGUUGAUACUAAAUGAAAUCCACCGGAGUGAAUCAAGUAGCAAUUAACAAAAUUCCUAACUGAGAAACUAAUCGCAGGCCUUCAUCUUAAUCUUUAUAUUCAUAGCUUCCUACGAAUGUGAAAUCAACUAUAUAACAAAAGAUAACGAGAACAAAAACAAUAGCAAUAAUUUGGAAAUCAAUACGGUAAUCUAAUAACUCGUACAAAAGAUCUCCAAUGGAAUUACGUGCGCCACUAGACACGAAAAUAUCUUUGAGUCUAAAACUCACCUCAGCUUUGGCAGAAGAAGCUCCACCAAGAUCGCCCAUGUGAAUCUCACUUCCUUCAGUAUCCAUCAUAAUGGCCACAGCAAAGCCCUUCUCCUCAUUCAGUUUCCUAACUCGCUCAAUGACGCUCUUGUGCCACUCGCGAGUUCCAUGACACAUAUUAAUCCUAGCCACGUUCAUGCCUCCGACCGCCAGCGCCUCCAGCUGCUCAAAGCCGCAUGUGGCCGGACCGAUCGUACAAACAAUCUUCGUCCUCCUCGUGCUCCUAAAUCCAUUCUCCUUCAAUUCCGCCUCCGUCACCGCAUCCACCUCAAUCGAACAAACAUCAGCCACGGAUAAUGAACUAUACUCCGUCGCCACCACGCCGCCGCCUGUACCAUUACUGGAAACCAAUACUUGAGACGACGGCGCAGAGUUGGGAUCUGAUGCAGCAGAUGUCCUGACGGAGAUAGAUUUAGGAGCUGAAGUAACCGGGAACCAGCAAUUGGAAGCAGGAAGAUUAGAUUUAGGGAAAGGAUGCUUAGUGAAAGUGAGGUUUGGGGAGCGAUUUGUUUGAGUGAAUAAAUGGAGAGACUGUGACAUGGUUGCCGAGAAAUGCAAGGAACAGUGGAGACGUCGCUGGGAAAGAAAGAGGAAGACAAUGUUUGGGGAGUUGAAAUGCGAAAUAUAGUAAUGGGUGGAGAUUUGAUUUUAGAGAGAGGGGCGGAUAUAACAAGAAACGAGGUUUGAGUGAGCUUUGUAGAAGUCGCCGAGCAGCCAGCGAAAAUCGCAUUGUGGGAUGACAAAACCAAACCCAUCUUUAAGAAUUGGAAAAAGUGAAACUGGUGCUAAACGGGUCAAAAUAAACUUCUGUUUUUUUAACCACAGGCUUUAAGGUAAACUACUACAAUUUAGCUAAAAUGAUGUAUGGGAACAUUUUAGGUGUUAUUGAAACUAGCUUUAUGAUAUAAAAAUUAAAUAAUAAUUUUUUUAAAAAAUGAAUGAGGUGUCUGGUUGUAUAUAUAAACAUUGUGAAAUUUCAAACGUACUUAAUGAAAGUCAACCUAAAAUUUUUCCAUAUUUUAAUUUGAGAUAAAAAAAAAUUCUAUGUUAUCAUUGUAAUGAGGUUAAUUAAAAUUUAGUUUAUAGUUUAGUAAAAUCAAUAGUUUAAUCUUGUAGUUAAUAUUUAUAUAUCAAUUCAUAAAAACAUAUAAAGGAUUUAUUUAUAAAUAAGUAUAAUAUUUAUGAAUUAAUUUAUAAAAAUUUAUUGAAUAACAAUCCUAAUAUUUUAGAAUUUAAUUUAUAAAAAAGACAUGAUUUAUUUGUGAGCAAUUAUAAUAUUUAUAGAUUAAUUUUAUAAUUAUAAAGACACUUAUUUGUAGAGAAAUAUAGGAAUUUAUUUAUAUAUAAUUAAAAUUAUUUAUAUUUUUUUAAAAUAAAACUACUUAUUGUAUUAAUAAAAUUUUAUCAAAUAAAAAUAUAAUAUAUAUUAUCCCAAAUAAAAAGGGAUUAUACUAGAUAAAUUCUCUAACCUUCUAACAUUAUGAUGAAUCCAUCUAACAGAAAUAUCAGUUCUAGAGUCUAACAAAAAUUUAUAAUUAUUCAAAAUCAAAUCUCUGCAUAAAAUAAUUUGGCAAAAAUGUUCCUCAAGGUCUAAACUCCUUUAUAAGAUAAUUUAGCAAAGAUAAUUUUAUUUCUUUCUUAUCUCUCUAGCAUAAAUUAUUAAAAUCUCCCAAAUAAAGUUACGGAAAAGAGCUUGUACGAUAUAAAAUUCGAAUAAGAUUUCAAGACUGACGUCGUCAUUGUAAUUCCGGAAACCCAUAAUAAUUAUUAAAUCUCUAUUGAACAUUACCUUCCGAAAUAACCGAAUCAAUAAAAAUUGAAGAAAAGACAACCAUAGAAACAGACUCAUGACUUUUCCACAUUAGCGAAAAACCUCCUCCCAAUCCUUAUGAAACAACCAUCAAAAUGUAAAAAAUUACGAAAAAAUUUCAUACGAGAAUUAAGAGUUUUUAUUUCCAUAAAAAAUAAAAUGUCUGACUUGUAACUAGGAACCGAAUUUUUUAAUGCAAUAACUGUCCGAGGAUUGCCGCAAUAAAUCUGUCAAAGAGGUUUGCAUAUUCUAAAAAUUGAUUGGAUUGUACGUGAGAAAUAUUUCCACCAUACAGAAAUUAUAAGUGACUAUCGGAAUAUCUCUGGAGUUCUUAACAGGGACAACAACAUUUUUUUUUUAUCGACAGUCAAUUGACGCAGAUCGUUUUCCAUAGAAAGGGGAAUGAAGAAGUUAGAUUUAAGGAGAGAAAUGCGAGAGUAUUGAAUCAUAAAAGUAUUACAGAAUGAAAUUUGCGUCGAAAAAAAAAAUAAGUAUUUUGAAAAAUAUAAUUAUUUAAUUAAGAGAUUAAAUUGUAUAUUUCAUUAAAUUUCAUAAACUCAAUUAUUUCAAAUCAAAAAUAUAAUAAAGGGUAUUUUGAUUAUUUUAAUUAAAAUUAAUGGAGAACUAUUUGUAAUUUUAACGACGACAACUAAUUUUAUAUGUUUAUUUAAAUGCCAAACAAUUCAAAAUAUGAAUUUUAAAAUUGAAACUUUUUUUUUUUAAAAUGGUAAAAUUGAAACAUUAAAUUGAUUUAAGCAUAUGAAUUAAAUUGCAGUUUUAUAUUUUAUGGUGAAUAUAAUUUUUUAUGUAUAAAUUUAAAAAAAUAAUUUAUGCUUAUAAAAAUAAUAAUUGAUGUGAUAUACAAGGCAAAUUAUACACGUAGAGGGAAUUGCGAUUUUUAUGUUUUGUUUCAUUAUGUUAGAAAAAGAAACGGUGAGUCUCUUAAAUGGGAAAUCAAAUUCUCUAAUUCAAGAGGAGGAUGAGAAUGAAAAAGGUAAUAAAUUAUUUCGUGAAAUUAUUUAUUUAAUUAUUUAUUUUGGAAGACUCAUUGAAUUGCCACUAUCUUUUUAAAUCAUUGUUUAUUUAUUACUUUUCUUAUCAAAUUAUUAACCAUUUUUAAUCCCUCCAUUUAUACAACUCCCUAGUAAUACGUGAAAUUACUAAAAUAUAAUUAUCUCUAAUUAAUCUACCUAUUAGGGUUUUGGAGAGAGAUGAUAGAAUAAAAAAAUAAUUUUUUUUCUUAAUUUUUGAAUUAUUUUAAUAAAAUUUUCAAUCUAAAUUUGUGAAAUCAUAAUAAGAAUAAUAAUAAAAUAUUUCAUUUGUGGAGAUAGAAGUUUAUUUAUUUAUAAAGAAUAAAAUAUUUAAAUUUCUCAUCAUAAUAAAAAUAAAUAAAUUUAUUAGCGUUAUAAUUUAAAAACAUUUAUUAAUUAUAUAAAUAAUUAACAUAUAAAAUACUUUUUAAUAAAAAAUUAUUAUUAUAUAAUUAUAAAAAUAAUUAUAUUAUAUAUUGUUUUUAAUCAAUACGUUCGAUCUUUAUAAAUUAAUGAAUUAUUAAAAAAUAAAAAUAUAAUAUAAAUAUGAUGAUUUGAUUAAUAAUAAAAUUUAUUUAUAUUAUUAUUUAAAAUAAAUACUAUAGUUAAAAAAAUUAUAUUCAAAAUUAUUUUAUAAAUAAAAUGAUAAAAUAUAAUUUUUUUCAUACAUAGAUAAAUAUUGUUUAAAUUUUUGGAAAUUUUUCUUUUAAAUUUUCUUUCUUACCGCCUUAACUUUUGAUUUUUUUGUCUUGGUUUAUUCUUUUGAAUUCUCUUUAAUAUGAGUAGUUUUAUAUGUAUUGGAAUAAUAUUAAUUUUUUUAUUAUUAUUUUUAAAUUUUUUAAUAAAUUUAAAUUUAAUAUUUUUUUAAAUGAAAAUUAGAUAUUGAGUUAGUAGCAUGAAAUUAAAUACAUUUAUCAUGAAAUUAAAUCUGGGACGCGGGUUGAAAUAUUUAAAUAUCAAAUAUAACAUUAAUGUGUUUAUGAGAAAGAGUAUAAAUUUCCAACAUAUGAAUUGAAUUCGGUAAACUUUUUAAACUGUUACAUUUUAUAUUUAUUGUUUUAAAAUAAUUAUUUUAUUUAAAAAAAAAAAAUAAAAAUAUGAUGCAUCAAAAAAUCUAAUAAUUGCUGUGCAACGACACAGAUGGAAAUUCUAAUUUAUAUAAUUUCAAAACAUAACGAUCCGAUCAGUGUAAAUUUAAAAUAACAAUUUUAAAAUUAUAACUCUUUUAAGUAAUUUCAAAAUAAUAACCAGUUAACUCAUACAAUUUACUGUAAGAAUUGAAUAAUUAAUAAUUUAAAAAUAACUAAAAUCAUGGAAAUUAAAUAAAAAUUUACACAUGAAAAAUUACUAAUAAUUACGAAACCAAUAUUAUUUAUUUAUUUUUAGUUUAAUAUCAAUGUUUAGCUAAGUAAAAAGGUUAAAGCAAUUUCUAAUAUAAUGCUUGAAAUUUAAUAAAAAAAUUCAUAAUUUAAACUUUGUUAUUUCAAUAAAAAAUAAUUUAAAAUUUUAUUCUAUUACAAAAUAUAUAUUUUAUUAAAAUUCACUAUUAAAUUAUAAUAGUUUAAUUUAUUUAAUUUUAAUUUCUAUAAAAAUAUAAUUCUUAUAAUUUUAAUAUUUAUAACAGUUUAAUUCUUUUAAUUUAAUUAAUUUUUUAAUUUAUAAUUAAUUAAUUAUAAUAUUAAUAAAAUGAUUAUUUUAUUAAAAAAUAAAAAUACUAAUAUUAGAAAUAUAUGAAUUAAAUCAUAAAUUUUAUAGAUUAGUCAGUAAAUUAGUCUAAAUUUUCCGCAAAAUUUGGGACGAUUUUGAUAUUGGUGUAGAUAUUAGUUGUCGUGCGGAAAGGGAAAGGUUUUCAUUUUGUAUUUUAUUGCGCAGUACAUCUGCUUCUGGAUCGCGGAGACGUUGAUGCUCCGAGAAUAUUCUAUUAUUCUACAGUACGAGCAGUCGAGCCCACUUGAGAUGCAAUUUACCUUUUAAGCCCCACUUUUUUUUUUUUUUUUUUUUUUUUUUUUUUUUUUUUUUUUUUUUUUUUUUUUUUUUUUUUUUUUUUUCUUUCGUGUCCUUUUUGUUUGUUAUUUUCCUUUUUAGCCCCUUUUUUUUUUUUUUUUUUUUUUUUUUUCCUGAUCUGAAGCUUUAGACGUUUAAGAGUUUGGAAAUUCAAUUAAUUCAAAUUUAUUUUCGAUAGAAAAUAUUUGUUUUUAAAUUUUAAAAUAUAUAAUACUUAAGAUUUAAAUUUGAAAGCACUUGUAAAAAGAAAAAAUCUCCAUUAAUCUAUUUCAUUUUUAUAAAUAUGUUGUUUAAAAAACUUUGGUAACACUUUAGUAAUCAAUUUUACAAAGCACAUAAUAAUAUAUAUAUAUAUAUAUAUAUAAUUAUUUGGCCAUAUUGCAGAUUAUUCAACAUGUGACGCAAUUGGAACAAGUUAGGUGGCAAAUCAGCACGCACUGGGAAGCAAUGAAAUAAAACUCUCAUGACUUUAUAUUUUUAACUUUUUUUUUCAAAUUAUACAUAAUUAAAAAAUUAUUUAUUAAAUUAUAUAAAAUUUAAAAAUAUUUUUAAAUUUUAUGUGUAAAAUAAAUAUAUUCGAAAGUUAUAAUAUCUAACACUUUGAAAAUAUUUUUAAAUUUUAUGUGAUUUAAUAAAUAAAAUUUUAAUUAUAUAUAAUUUAAAAAAAACUCUAUAUUUUCAUCUUUAAUUUCAUUUAUUCCAAGCAGAGAUGAAACCGGUCUUUAAUGUAAGAGAUAAAAGAAAAAAACUAUGAUACCAAGUUCUACUAUUAUUCACAAAUUUGAUAAUAGCUUCAUGUAUAUUGAUUUAUUUUAUAAAAUAAUUUUAAAAAUUAUGAUAAAUUCAUAUAUAACUUUAACUUUUUUUUUUUUUGAAAAUUUUAACUUAUUUUAAAAUAAGAGUUACUUUUUUAUUUUAAAUGAAAAAUUAAUGAAAAAUAAAUAAAUAAAAUUAAAUUAUUAUAAAAAUUUUAUUUUAAAUAAGAGAAUAAAAAAUGGUCUCAAGUAAGAUUAAAAUUAAUUACAUUUAAAACCUCACAAUUGGAUUUCACAGUAACAAUAUAUGUCCCUUAACACAUUAUAAAAAGCAGUAAAUCGAAAGAAGGCAAGACCUUUUAAGAAAGAGAAAAUUGAGCAAAUCUAUUUAAAAUAAUUUAAAAAUUAUUUUUGUAAUCCAUUUUUUUAUCGGUUAAGAUCUGACAGGGGGAGAGGAAUGGAAACUUAGAUAUUUGUAAAUAUAUUUUGUCAAUUUAUUUAAUGGAUAGUAUAUAAUAAUUAUUUUUAAAUUAAUUAAAUAUAAUAUAAUAUAAAAAAUAAUAAAAUUUAUUGUAUUUUUUUAAAGAUAAACACGAAUUUAUUGAUUGAACUCAUUAAAUUUAAUCAAAAUUAUGAUAAUUUUAAUAAAAUUUAUGUAAUAUAUUUAUUUAUUUUUAUAUAAAUAAUAUAUUUGUUUAUUUAUUUAUAGCCUGACUUUCAAAUUCUUUUAAAUUUUUUCAGACAUAGAUAUUAUCUUAUUUUAUUUAUUAGACAAAAGUAUAUUAUUUAUAUAUUUAAUAUAUUUUUUUCACAUUCAAAAAAUUUAUAAUUUAAUUGUAUUAUUUUUUUAAAAAUUAUUUUAUUCUGCAUUUUGCAUGACCCAGAUGGUAUAAAAUUGCCCAUUGCAUCAGGAGAGAUUACUGAUGCUGACAUGGACAUCCAGUCAUCGCCAUAAUUGGCAUCUAACUGCCAAGUUGUCACGGACAGCAGCGCUCACCAUGGUCCACAACUCCACAUCUCUCUCUUCCACCGAACGAGCGAACGAACGAACGAACGAACCCAUUCAAGAAAUUAAAGAAAAGGGCAAUCGUUUAUAAAUUUUUAUUAUCUCAUUCUUUAUUUUAUUCUGCACUUUCAAACGCAGAUCGUACAAAAAAUAAUCUAAUCUAAUCUGGGUCUGCUUUCUUUUGCAUUUGGUUCCUCUCUUCCUCCUCAAGACCCACACCCAUCUCCAUCCUUCAUCGUCUUCGUAUCCUCUAUCUAUAUCAAAUCCUUCAUCAAAGGUUCGAUCUUUUUAUUUAUUUAUUUAUUGUUCCAGUAUCGUAUAUAUGUACUCCGACCUCGAUCCUUCAUCAAUUGGAUUCUUNNNNNNNNNNNNNNNNNNNNNNNNNNNNNNNNNNNNNNNNNNNNNNNNNNNNNNNNNNNCCCCCGUAUUGUUUUAGUUUUGAUUUGAUGAGUGUAUUGAAAUAAGGCAUAAUCUUUCUUGAUAUGUGAUUAGGAUUUGCUUGAAAUAGAAGAUGGGUGCGUUUAUGUCGAAGUUUUGGUUCAUGUUGUUUCCUGCAAAGGAGUACAAGAUUGUCGUGGUUGGGUUAGAUAAUGCAGGGAAGACUACCACGCUUUACAAGUUACACUUGGGAGAGGUUGUCACUACUCACCCAACUGUUGGUAGCAACGUUGAGGAGCUUGUUUAUAAGAACAUUCGAUUUGAGGUGCCUUUUUUUUUUCUCAGCUUCUAUGUUUCGCGGACUUUCAAAUUAAUUUGUUGGGUUUUGUUCUUUAGCAUGUAUAGAAUUUAAACCUAUCUCUAUAUUUGAUGAUUUGGUUCUUGAUAUUACUAUAUAAUUUUCAGUAGCUUCUUGGAAAAAAGAGUUGCGAGUUUUGAUAUAUUAGUGAAAAGUUAAUGCCAUUUAGAUGAAGAGUCCUUAUAGUGCAAUUGAAUAAAUUAAAUUAAUUUCAAAGUCUGCAUUUGAGUGUGUUUCAGGCCAGGGUGCCCGUGAUGCCAUCAUGCUGGCUUUUACAUCCUAAUCUAUCCCACCCAUUAUUCAACCCCUUAAACUGAUACCUAACCUAAGACAUUUGUCUUUAAAUUGUUGUUACCUAUCCUUGUUGGUAUGACAUUGUCCAGUACCCGGAAAAUAUUCUAAGAUGAAAAGAGAAGCAUCAGUUAAUUAGACUAUCAAUUUAGAAAGUAUUCAAUCGCCUGGAUUUCUCAAAGAGAAUUUUAUUUUUGGUUAGUAGUUACUCAUCUCUGAAAUAGAUUGUAGUCAUCUGUUAUCAGUAUAGUAUAGUCGUGGCUAUUUAUAAUCAUUAUACUAUUAUGCAUGUUUGCAUGUGCAAGAUUUGGGAAAAAUGGCUUAUGGCAAGGGUCAAUACUUGAUACUAUUGUCAGUAUCUGACACUAAAUCAGAGGAUGGUAUUCAUCAUGCAAUUUAUCAGAUGGCUGAAUGGGAAGGAAUCAAGGGUCCAAGUUUAAUCAUUUCAAUUUCUCAUAUGGCUGGAUGAAUUGUUAGUCAGAGGUGCAGAGCCCCUAAUGGAUAUAAACUGUUUUGGAAGCUUCAGUCCUCAUACAUCUUUCCUAAAUCAGGCUUCUAGUUUUCUCAACUAGUCCUUUAGAUAUCAGUUUCCCAGUAGCCAUUAGCAACUAUACAUAUGAAGGAGAUGGAUGUCAUUUCCAUAAGCUGAGGAUGAUUUAGUGAAAACUCUUAUUUUCUUGUAUGGUUGAAUAAUUAGGGAAUUGGGAUCAAAAGGCCCUAAAUGGAUGUAGCCUUGUAGAGUCUGCCGUGGACAAUAUUCAGUCUUCACAGUCUCUCAUAAAUCAGGCUUCUUGUGGGCCCAACCCCUCUAGAUUUCAGCUUCUUCGUAGCUGUUUUGCCAUGAGCCCAAAAGUAGGGGGCAUUCUAAUGAAACAUUUCAUGUCUUUCUAUUAAAUACAAAAUUUGGAUAAUUAUUAUUGAUGGGACAAGAUGGCUGUCUACUUUCUUUGUUCCAUCUUUUAUAUUUGCUAUUGACUACCAUACUCUGGAGUUUUGGGAAUUAUAAAGUGGAGCUUUCAGCAUCAAUGCUAUGUGUGCAUACACUUGAAGAAUGUUAUUUGGUUGCAAAUUGCUGGUUCUAUGAGAAGCUAGUUAACUCAGCUUAUGUUCUUUGUUGGUUUUUAAGAAACUAGGAAAUUUGGAUUUGCUGUGUAUUUGUUGGCGAGAAGAAUGCUCUNNNNUUUUUUCCCCCUCUAAAGGAUUGGUUGUGUGAACUUGAAUUCAUAAAAAAGAAAAAUGCGAACAAGUUUGGGUCAUGGUACCUUAUUUUUGGUGAUUGUUCUGUGUAUGAUGUAGUGUUGUUACCGGCGUUACCCUGAAUAAUUUGAUUUUCCUCUGGUUAUCUGGUUAAAUAGAUUGGCAACUAAAUGUGGCGAACCACUUUUCAUGGCAGUUGUAAAAUAUUAUUCCAUGCAUCUUCCUUGGCACCACUUGUUUGGGAGGGGGAAUAAAAUCAGAGAAUCAUAAAUAUGCUAUAUUUUCACUCAAAAUCAAACUUUGUGGACUAGGUUUCAUGCCAUCAUGCAAAUUUUGUUUAUUGUAGAAUAAAACUUUCUUGAGUUUCAACUUUCGAUUGAUUCUGUCAGACCUGUUUGCUUCAUCAAAUGUUAAUGGCAUUGCGUGGAUGAUACUGUAGUUUUCGGUGAAGUUAGAUUGUGAACAUGAGCAAAUUUAUCUGCUUUUCUCAUCAGGUUUGGGAUCUUGGUGGACAAGAAAGACUCAGGACAUCAUGGGCAACAUAUUAUCGGGGGACUCAUGCUGUCAUUGCGGUGAUAGACAGUACAGAUAGAGCUAGAAUCUCCAUCAUGAAGGAUGAACUUUUCAGGUUGCUUGGACAUGAGGACCUACAAAAUUCUGUUAUACUUGUUUUUGCAAAUAAACAAGACCUCAAGGAUGCCAUGACCCCAGCUGAGAUCACCGAUGCACUCUCUCUUCACAGCAUAAAGAAUCAUGAUUGGCACAUCCAGUCCUGCUGUGCACUUACUGGUGAAGGUCUCUAUGAUGGCCUAGGGUGGAUUGCCCAGCGAGUUUCUGGCAAAGUACCAAGUUGAAGAGAAAAUGGAUUAAAGGGCAAAGAAAAGAAGGUUCAUUUUUCGGAUAUUGAUGGUUUUGAAAGAUUUUUAAAAAGUGUCAUUGUGUACUAUCAAACUGUGCUCAAUACUCAUUACCAUUGCUGUAGAUUGUUCCGUACAUUUGAAUUUCCCAUAAGAAUUCGUCAUGUAUUGCACAAUGAAGGAUUUCAUUAUAAAUUUGGAAAUUUAGAAAUGUUGCCAUAUAACUAUUACUUUCUACACAACGAAGCACCCUGUCAAACAUAUGUCAAAGCAUUGCUAAAAAAUGUUGCACUCUGUAACUUGAAGACUCUGCCAACAAUCAACAAUCAACAAUCAGAGCUAUAAAGCCAGAACUCAACCAUCAAUAUCAGAGAAUCCAACAUCUGCAACCUUGUGAUUCUUGCGGACCUUCAAACCAUCGAUCCCAUAAUGGAUUUAGAGGGCCAUUUGUUCUGUCACACCACAAUAAACAGGCGUAGAAAUAACUAAUGUCAUUGAUAAUGCUUGCAAAUAAAUGCAGAGGAAAAAAAUUUAUACAACUGGACAUUUACAUUGGCAGUAGAGGAUCUGGUCUAGUUUCCACGUUAAGCAGCAUUCUGAUGCACACAAAACAAAAAUAGCUUACAAAUGAAAAUGUAUUCAUAGAUAACAAUCAGGCAAUUGAAAACUCUAUUCCAGGAUAUAAAGCAUUUGAGUGAGCGCUAUAUAUAUAUCUUUUAUUUUAUUUUCUUUUUUAUUUAUAUUUUUAUUUUUUAAACUUACUCCUUGCAUGCAGCUGUGGCAUUUUCCAUCUUAUCAAGCUGUUCCAACUCUUCCUGCACAUACAUUCAUUUCAAACAUCAAUUUCAGUCGGUAGCCUUAAUCAAUAUUUAUAGCACUCAAGGUAGGAUGUCAGAUAAUGGAUGACAGAGCAUUUCCUGAUGGUACUGACGUUAAUUACAAACCUUAUUUGAAAAAAAUGCAGUUCAUUAGAAAGCACCAAGGAUUCUUCAAAAGCUAAACUUGUAAUCUAUAGUGGAUUAGUUUUUAACAUAGACUGAAAGUAGAUUCCAUAUGCUCAUGAUAGGAAAGCUUCUGAAUCUGAUUUUCUAGGUGAGGUAUUAAUGAAAGUACGCAAAUACACAUCUUUUCACAAAGAUUUCAUAUGAAACAAGUCUUACCUGCCAUCAUGUAUGCUUGCAAUCAAUUUUCAAAUGGAGAUAAAAAUUUGGGGGCACAGAAACAGUCAGAUCCUCAUAAAACCUACUUAUAAGGAAAUCUUCAGAAGUGGUCAUCCCUUGUGGUGUGGAAAGUACAUCACCGGAGCACACAAAAAAAAAAAGAGAAAAAAAAGGAGACUGCUGAUAUGGAAAUGGAAUUCUAUGAAAAAUUGAGAAGUAUAUACAGUUUGUUGUGAAAUCACUGGGAAAUGACGUCCCAAUGGCUUCCAAGUAGGGACAGUUUUUUAUGAACAUUUUUCAAAGACCGGCACGAUCGUAAUGUUGAUAGAAGUUCUCCCUGCAGUUUCCCAGCCCCAAAAAAGACCCAAUAUAAAUGGGAAAUUUCAAAUAGUUUCAGAAAUAUUUGAGAAACCAACACGUAACAAUUUUCAAACAAAUAUGUCUAGUUGCAAGAUUUUUACCGCAAAAUGUAAUAUAAUUUUGUUUUUAUCUACUUUGAUUUUGUGACCUAAAAACAUUGUAUUUUGUUUCUAAAAUUUAUGCAAGAAUAGGCACCUUGAAAGAAGCUUGGCAGAGAUAGUAAAUUCAUUCUCAUACUAAAUUAUUGCAGUCAAGAAGCCUUAGUAAGAGCUACAGAUCUGUAAAAAGGUUUUAUUGUUUAUUUUUUGGAGAAGACGGGGUGGAGUUUGCUAUUGGCUGAUGAAGAAAGGGGUGUCAGUGUCACAAGUUGGAUAUAAUUCAAUCGUGGGAAUCUUAACAUGAAAUGUGCAUCUCUGUGAAGGCAGGUGCUUGUCUAUAUCCAAGCUAGGAACUGCCAUGUUUGGCAUAUCUGUCUGACAUACAAAAUUACCACAGUUGUAAUACUAAUUGGCUCUGUAUUCAAAGGAUAGAAUGUAGCAAAGCAAAUAUUUCCACCUUGCUCACAACAAAAUGGCUUCAAAGUUCAAUCUAAUCUAUAAAUUGGUAAAAUAGUUGAUUAGGACUUGAGCAUUGAAAUUCAUUUUAAUGAUUGACCAAGAAAAUAGCACCUAUAAUCCUCUUCUUUGCAAGACAAUUGUCCAGUGAUCUUAAUCAAGAAAACCAACUGAAGAUAUUGGAAUGCAACUAUCAACUAAACAACACCCAAUUUCCACCAAUCUCUUAGAAAUAUGGGGAGCAAAAUCACAUUCCAAUUCAUAGCUAGCAAGGUCCAGCAUUGAAAGUCUGAAAUAUUGGAAGUCAAAGCCAACAAAAAAUUGAGAAAUUCGUUUGCUUUUCUCAUCCUAAUAAGAUACCCAAUUAAGAUUUCUAUUGCUCAUAUAAAAUAUUCUCGUGCAAUCAAACAAAAACAAAAAGAUAAACACAGAGAGAUAAAAUAAAAAGAAAUAACCUCUAAAAAUCUGACUUCUUGCUCAAGCCGCUUGAGCUCUGCUUGUAUCCUAUGCUUUCCUCUAGUAUCAGUAGCAGACGGCAAAGAGUUGAGACGUUGGGUUAUCGGACCCGAGGAAUCGGACCUAUCCGAUUGCAUCUCUUAAAGACAAAACAGUAACAGAAAAAGCCCUAGCUUUAGCUUAGCUUCCCCCUUUUGAGAAACAAGAAAGAAACAAAAGUGCGUCACAAGAAAGAUGGCAUUAGAGAAGAAAAUAAGAGUGACCCAGAAAUCUGUAUGGACCCCAUGUACUUGGAACUAACUGUUCUCUUCCAUUAAAGCAGAAACAGAAGGGAUCUGUACAAAGGACUCAAAGUAAGACGAAGGGGGGAAGAGAGAGAAGGGUUGUUUUGGCCUUUUGUGAAGCUUUUUUCCAAUGGAAGUAGGGACAAAGAGAGAAGUUUUAUUCUUGUCGUGAAUUGUAUGAAAUGUGAAACUCUUUUUCAUUUGGUGUCUUUUUUGUCUCUCUUUCAGUCUACAGUUUUCUCCACUUUCUAUGCCUUUCCUCCACGCGACGUCUCUCCCCCGUCGCCAUAGGACUAAGUUUAUAGUUAUGAGACGGAAAUAACUUGAUGUAUUUAAUUAUAAAAAUGUUAAAAUAAUAAAUAAAUUUUUUAAAAUUACUUUUUAAAAAAAUGUUAAAAAUAUAUAUUUUUUUAAAAAAUAACAUUUUUAAAAAUUAAAAUUUAAUGUGAAACGGAAAUAAUCCAAAAACCUUAGAGGCUCACCGAGAUGUUCCGACCAUUUUAUAUAAAGCAUCACUACGAUUCGACGAAUAAGAAGUUUGAAACGACGUCGAAAAUCACCGCAAGCUUCCAAUACGUCGAGUCCCUCUAUGGUUCCUUCCUUGAGUUGCUCCACGGGCCACGAUGGUCUCGUGCGACGCGUAACAAUUAUUACAUACAGGCUCAAACUACGUGAAUAUAAUAAUUUGGUACUCCUUAUAAAAAUAAAUUUAUGAUUUUUUUUUAUAAAUUAAAAUAGGAAAAAAAAAAACUUUGGGCAUGACUUGCAUAAAACAGUAGAUUAAAAUAUUAUUUUCAUAUAAAAUUAAAUUAUAAAUUUUAAAAUAAAUUAUAUAUUUUAAAAUAAAAAAAUUAUAGAGUAUAUUUUUUUUACUAUUAUCAAAUCUCCCCAACCAACAAGACCCGGCAAUGAGGCCCACCCUCGCCUUGGGCUUAAAAGAGGUUCAUGUUAUCUUUGCGCGUCAUUAGACAAGCUUUUUGAAUUUUAAUAAAUGAAUGGACUUUAGCAUUAGAACCAUGGUCAUGGAUGAAAUCGAAACUACGUGGUCUUAGUUAAUUCAAAAUAUAAAUUAAAUUUAAUUAUGUAAAAAAUAAAUAUAAAAAAUACGUGGCUAAAUAGCCAACUUGCCACGAACUUUAAACAUGUAAUUGCAUUUGCGUAUGAAUGUCCUCUUCGCACACAUGUAUUCGAUGCACCGUCAAAUUAAGAUCGCUAGAUUUAACAACAUGAAUAAGACAAGUGCAGCCAAAAAUGUUCUAUUUGUACUUCCCCGUUCACGUGUGCGUCUGUAUAUUGAAAGAACAAAUGAAUUAAUUAUAAUAUGAUUUUUUUAUCGGUAAAAAUUAUUAAAAGUUUACAAAAA